CAUCUUCCAUAAGGCGCUUCCAUGCCUUUUCCAGCAUUGUUUCCUGACCAAUCGUAGGCCCAGUAGGCCUUUCUUCUACUGCAGAUCUCAAAACCGGCUCAGUAACCUCUUUAAAAUUACCCUCCGAUUUGAGUUUCUUAACCUCUUUCAGCAACAAGAAUACCUUUUUCCCAUAUUUGUAGCUGGAACAUACACUUUUUGAAGAUAAACCACAGAGACAUAACUUCUUAAGCUCAACAGGACUAGUACUAAGCAGAUUAUUGAAUCGUGUAUCGAUGCUCUCGACACGUGUUAGCCAUACCUUGACAGCUUCAAGCCUUUGUUGAUGUUGUGCCUCCUCUCUCGCUACUUUGUUCUUCACCUCAGCUUCAAUUGCCUUGAGAUCAUCCAUUUCCCUCUUCAGAGCCCUGAGAUUCUCCUUGAGGUUUCGAAUAUAACCUUUGCCACAUAAGAAUCUAAAGAUACGAUUGAGAUCACCACCAGUAAGUUGGAUAGGAUUACAACUCCCCAUGUCGAUAGAAAGAGAGAAAACUUUGAGUAAGCAACAAACGAAAGCUAAAGAUGAAGAAGUGUUUUAUGUGAAAAGCAUUUUACAAGUGACGAAGGCAUAUAUGAUUUGUUAUCUGUCGGUCCUCUUUGGUUUCUAAUUUCCACCACUCCCACAUAUGCAUCGACUGAUACGAUUCACAUGAAAAAUGAAAAGCCACACAAUUUCUCUAUGGUGAUAGAAAGAGAAUAUUUCUGAAGCUGAAGAAGUUUUUAUUGUCAAAAAUAUCAUUGGAGAUAAGAUAACACAUCUUUCUCCAAUACGGGUGGUUAGGAGAUUUUCCAAAGGGAAAAAAAAAAAUUGCUUACGAAAGACUUUGACUAUUCUAAUAUCCGACCAUAGAUUUUACGAGUGAAGACUUUGCUCAAACUUAUUUCAAGUCAACUAAAGUCCUAUCUUCUGCUCUUAUGUUCUUCGUUUGGCGCUUGUAGCUGUCAAUUUGUUAGCCAUGUUGGCUUUGUUAUUGUUUGUAAACAAGUCUUCCUCUAAUGGAGCGUAGCUAAUCUAUAAAAUCUCAUUUGAGCAAAAAGAAAAUUAAAAGGAAACCCAAGUCUAAGGUGACAGAAACGUGGAUUGGUCAAGUAGUGGAGAUGAUUAAGUAAUCAUUGUCUGUUAUGCCCAAAGUAGCUUACGAAGUGGAGUCUUCUUUUGCGUUGAAAUCCUAUACGAUUAUUGUGUUGUGCCGAUUCUAUUUUUUCGUUAGUCUCUCUGUAGUAGAAGAACAUACCUUAGAUUUAGGCAUUGCCUGUUUAUGAUUUCAUUUAGAUUCAUGUUUCUUUUUAGCACCCUAUUGAGAAUUUAUUAUGUGCUACUUGAGAUAAAUCUGGGUUUGAAUUCUUUAAGUUGCUCAUUAAUGGAGUUUUAGUCAUGUCUAAGAGUAGAAAGUAUAUAAAAGCUUUUAAAAAAAGACUUGAUGAAUGGCAGAAAGAAUAUGAUCAGGGAGUUUUAUAAAGCUGAGGAUGAUGAAAAAUCGAACAUACAAAGUAUUUUGCCAUGUCUAAAACCAGAAUGUCCUACUGCCAAAUCUGUUGGGUAGUAGAACUUUUCUAGUCAAUGCGGUGGCAAAUCGAAUCUGGGGGAAGAAGUGUAAGAUUUUUUCUCGAAAACUUGGUGAAACUUCUUAAUGUUGUAUCACGUAUUGUUGUUCCAUGGACUUCCGCUGCCACUUUAAUAUAUAUUUUUAUCGUCCCAUUCAUUUCUUGCUGAACAAGAAACCCAAAUGUGGAAAGAAAAGAAGAAGAAAUUGUUUGUGAUUUUAUCCUUUGAAGAUCAAUACACAUAUGUUUUUACAUUUUUAAAUAAUGAAAUUAAUCCCCCAAAUACAUGCAUGACUUUUCUAAUAAUUUUUUAUUAUGUUGUUCCAAUUUGUGUUUGUUGGGUGUAUGAUAUAUUAUGAUGCAAAUGGAGAGUAUCAGUCUAAAUAAGGGUGCAUACUUCAAGCUAUUCUAGAGCAAACAAGUAAGAAACUUUAGAGAUGAAAAAAAACAACUCAAGCGGAAGAGUAUAAGAGAACUGAUUACCAGAUGGAUUAAAGGCAAGAAACGUUUUUGGUAUCUUCGUCCUCCCAUUCAAGCUCAGUUUAUCUCUUCUCCAGGACCCAUACCUAUUGUAAACCAGGCAAUUCGUGGGACACUUGUAGCAUCUAAGGGAAGCUUUCUCAGCUGUGGACACUCUUCUACUGUUAAUUUUUGCAAUAACAGUAGAUACUCUCCGGCUUAAGCAAAUUUCUUAUCGAAAACACUUCUAGUUUCUGAAACGGUGUAAUACCUCUAACUGUAAGAUUGACUUCUUUCUCUUUGCUUAUAAUAAUAUCUUCUACUUCUUCUGAAUAUCCACGUAGACGACAAGAUUUGGAGCAAACAGUGGAUUUCUAAGUUCUCUAGUUUGGGAAAUUUCGUGGCUUAUGAUGAACAAGUUGGGGUUUACUGAAAUUGAGUUCUGGUUUAAUCAAGACUGGUUAUAUCAUUAAUUCUUUAAGCCGGUUAAAGCAGUAUUAUGGUUCUAUUUUGGAAGUGGGUUCACUGACAUUGAUUUUUUUUGUUUUGUUUUAUAAUUUAAUUCAUUUUCAUAGAUGAAUUUGAAAGGUUACAGCGCAAAUAAACCUCAGACCGGUGAUCAGGUGAAACAUGAAAGAUAAAAUUAUGUAUAAGCUUUCCAGCAGUCAAAUCCCAUACCUAUUGGAUAUGAUCAAAUAUUAUAUCAAUUGUUAGAAACACAUACGUUGGGGAAAAGAGAAUGCGCAAGAUCCAUUUAUAGAUAUUGCAGUGCUUACCUUUACAACAUUGUCAAGUCCUCCAGUCACUACAAAAUUUACAACAUACGUUGGAGUAAAUUUGAUAGUGUUGAUGCCACGAGUAUGACCCUUGUACCUCUGUAUGCAUCCCUUCUUUCUGAUGUCCCAAAUCUUCAAAUUCGUGUCACUUGAUCUAUGAUGCCAAAAAUUCACCAAAUGGAUGAAAUUCAACAGCAGAACAAUUGGAUCUAUGUCCAGUAAAAGCUCGAACCACUACACUUCAAGAGUAAGAGUGAACAUGUUAGACCUCAUAAUUCUAAAGUAAACGAUAGAUAUGGUGUGGUACACUGCUCAAAUAUCAGGACCCAUAAUCAACAUCUAACUCAAUCGGUAUCUCUAUAUGUUCCCAUUUGAUGAAACUAGCUAGGCAUAUAAGGAGCAACAAGUAUUCUAAAGGAGAGCAGAAAAUCAAUCAACUAACUCUUUGCUUCUUCUAGAUCCCAAAGCUUUCUCACACCCGAAGAAGCUCCACCAAGCACCAAAACUUCUGCCGAGUCAAAAGCUACUGAAUCCACUGCACUAGUAUGUCCACAUAAACUCUGCAAACAACUCAAGAAAUGAAUAUAGCAGCACUCUUCUAUAUAAAAAACAAUACACACUUUUUGCUCAACAAGGAGGAAAAAUUUAGACAAGAGAGAAAACGUGAAACACACCAUUAAAGAAGUAGGCUUGCCGAUCGCCCAAAGGUUGACAUUGUAAUCAUCACCACCAGUAAUAAGGAGCCGUGAUGUCUUCUUUCCGAUACUUAAGCAAUUUACAUUUGCAGAAUGUGCCAAAAACUCCUCUACGUUUCCAAAAUCAAGUCAAGGUAUAAGCAAACACCAGACAAGAACAGCUAAAGAAAGGAGCAGCCUUUGAAGCAACUCGACAGCAAAACAUAAAGCAGGUCAUAAAUGGAGAGAAGUACUUUCACAUACAAAACAUAUCCAGAAAAUAUCCAUUUUCUAUCAUAUUGAGCAGCCAGUGAUAGAAACAUUUGACCCGGAAUUAAUUUCUGCUAAAAUCUUGAAAUGCUAAUCAAAACUUGAAGCUUAUCAAUAGCAAACUAAGCUUUGCUCUUGGGAGUUUUUAAAGAUAAAACCCUAACGAUUCGGUGAUUUAAAAAAAAAAAAAAAAAGACGACAAAAAUUUCUCAGGAUGGAGCUAAAAAUCCAGAGUUCGUUCAAUUUUACUCAGCUUAAGAAUCAACAACAUCGCCAGGAAUAUAAAAGGAUACGCAGCUUAUAUCCACGCUUCGCCAUUUUCUACUCGAUUUCCAGCAAAUCCGUGGGAAUCAAUGGAAUCCGAAUCUCUAGCUUCCGUAAUCGAUCGAAAAAACGGUGAAUCGGAGCUGAAAAAAAAAUCCCAAUUGUCACUACACGACAGAGCUCGAGAUUUUCGGGAAAUUCAAAAGGAGAAACACGGAGGUUGCUUCCCGUUGAGAUUUCAAAUCUAGAACGUGAGAAAAGAAUCAAAUUCCGGGAACAAGAAUUUUGAAGGAAACGAGAUAAUCAGAGAUUCAAAUAGUGACACGGAGCAGAAAGAAAAAAAGAAACAGAAGAGAAGAAGAAAAAUGGUAAAGCGAAGGAAGUUUUUUAUGUUGUCAAUAUUAUUCGAUAGGUGAGGAAGCACCUCAUCAUCUCUUGGAUUUGUUUGUUUCCUAAAGACAUUGUCAACCUUAUAUAUAUAAAUAGGGUAAUUAAGCGUAGUGUUUUGUUUGGUAAGACAUAAUAUUAUACAUAUAUAACAUUUAAAUACUCGAAUCAAAGAGAUAAUUAAGAAAUUUUGAAUCAAAGCCUAUAACAUAGUGUCUAGAAAAUCAAUAAAAAAUCUUUAAAUGAUUUAGAUAUUAAAAUCAAUUUUUAAAAAUAUUUCUCAAAAUUUUGUGGAUAAAAUAAUCUAAACGAGAAUUGUUUUCAUUGUUUUGUAUAAUAUUUCGAAAAUUGAAAGUAGACUAAAUUAUGUAGAAAAGAAGAAUCUACGACCGCUAACAAACACCUGAACACGAAAUUCAUUAUGAUUAAACAAAUAUCAAACUUUCUUUUUUUCCAACAUUAGUAUCAUGUUUUUCAUGUCAGUCAGUUUCUAUGUUGCUUCUCAUCUUUAGAUGCUUUAGUAUUUCUCAAUGUUUUUAAACCCGACCCGGACAACGACCCGAAGUAUUCUUCGGAUUGUCGGUUAACUGGAUUGACCUGGAUUAAUCCGGGUCAACCGCGGAUCAACUAAGUAUAUAUAUUUGUUAUGUUUUUUAAUAAAUUUUAUCACUUUUGUUACAUUUUUUUUAAUGUAAAAAAAUACAAAUUUUUGCUAAAAAGUUUUGUCACUAAAUCGCAUUAAUUAUUAUAUAUCUUUUUCUAUAUAAUUUUUUUUAAUAAAAUUAAAUUAAAAUAUACACUAAAUAUAGUGAUCAUAUUAACUAUAUUUUUGAACAUUUUUAAUUAUAUAUUUUUUCCUUUUAUUUAUUUUCUUUUUUAAACAGUUAAUUUUUUACUAGAAAAUUUGAUAUUACAAAACUUACAAUUGUAUAAUGGUGAGAAAAUAACAAACUAUUCAAUAAAAUAUAGAAAAACAAACUGUUAUUACUACUAAAAACAUUCAAAUAAAAGUAUAUUAAUUGUCUCUAAAAUCCAAAAAUAAUGUAGAAAAUUUUAGCAAUAUUUUUUGAUUUUGUUACCACCUCAUUUUUUCCAUCUUCUGUUAUUGUAAGUGCUCUGCAUCUUGUUCUAAUUUUGUUUUCUAAAACUGUAUUUUUUUUUUAAAAAAAUAUCAUAUAUUCAUAAAUAAAUUUAUAAAACUAUUAAUUUUUUUCCAAACCAGAAACCCAUCCAGAUCGGGUUUUUGCCGGUUCACCGAGUUUAAGCGGGUUUUUCUGGAUUUAAGCGGUUUAAUAGCAUUUUGGGUUUCAACAAAAACUAAACCGGAAAUUUUACCAGGUCACGGUUUAACCGGUUAAACCGUCCGGUCCGAUCUGGGUCUGAAAACAUUGGUAUUUCUCUUACAACUAUGCUCAUGGUAUUUAGUGGUUGGAUGAUUUACUUUAAGAUUAGAAUACUAAUAAUUUGAAUAUUCUUACAACAAUUUCAACUGUAGUUGAAAUCUGAAGCCAUAUUAAAUGAUAAAUAUACUCAGUUUUUAAUUAUUCACAAACUACAAAAAUUAGUCUAGAUUUCGAUAUAGAAUUUUAUAAUUAUCAAUAUUUUCUUCUUCUUUUCCUGAUAGCAUAAGCUUUUAUUGUUUAUUUUUAGUUAAAAAAGAAAAUAAAGUAUAGCAAAUUAAACACAUUAUUGAAACAAAUGUUAGGAAUCUUAUACUGAAUAUUUGAUAGAACCCAAAGUAAUAUAUAAGUGAAAUGGAUCAAUCCGCACCAAUUAUUUUUAAAUCAGAACCCCAUAAAACGUAAUGUGGUAGCGGAAUCCAAAUUUUGUUGACUUACGGUAGUAAUAUAUAAGUGAAAUUAAUCAAUCUGCUAAUUACCAGCUACUUUUAAAUCAGAAUAUCAUAACGUAAUGUGGUAGCAUAAUCCAACUUUGUUGAUUUAAGUAGGAUAGCCCGAAUAAGAAAUAUUGUAGUUCGUGUAUGGCAUACUGCAAAUCUUAGAAUAUGUUUUGGUUUGAGUCUUCAAGAUGUGCGAGAUAGUUAUCAUCUAGAGGAAAUGGACUUAAAGAACUAUAUAAGAGAUACACUCAUAAUUCAUAUAUACCAGAAUCCAUUUUAUUACCAAUUUUUUUUUAGUUAGAACCUAUAAAACUUAGAAACAUAUAUCAUGAUAUAGAAUCAAAGGUCAUCUCACUAAAAAUUAUUAUGCUCACAUAUGGUUUAGUUAUUCAAAAAAAUAAAUAAUCAAACAUACGAAUUAACCAAAAUAUAGUCUUAAAAGUUUUAGGUCUGCUAAAAUGUUUUUUUUAGGUGUUACUAUGCUAAGCUUCAAAUUGUAUUGUAUUCACUCUUCAGUAUAAGACUAAUGAACAUUUAAUUUACAAUUUUGAAUUUUCUAAUGGAGUAGACCGAGAUCAGGCCCAGGCUAUAACCGCUUCUUACAGGCUAUUGAUGCAAUCAAAUGUUACAAAUUGCGAACGGCUAUUUGCUUUGUGUUAGCAUUGGUCCAUUGAAUUUUAAUUUUUUUUUAUAAUAUAUUGAGUCAUAUGUAAAUACUAGAUGCCUGGUACCGGUUCUUAUCAGCUUCGCUGCUUUGUAUAUAGUCGCCGUCUGCAAGAAUCAUUCUGAGAAAUGCUAGACAAGAGUGAGAAAGACAAUUUUGUAAAAGAAAGAAGAUUGAGUUUUGCCAGAAACUACUCUACAAGAUUGUUGUAGUUUCUGGACACGCAGCUAAUUCAAACGACGAACCAAUGUUCAAGACCGGUGGGUGGUGAAUAAUUGAGCGUAUCAAUUAAGCUUGCGAAUUUGUUUUUUUUUUUUUGGCUGAAGAUUUGUUCUUGGGUUCUUGUUUUAAUGUUCUUAAUGUGGUGAAGCCAUUAGGAAAGGAAUGUGAAAACUCUUAAAAUUAAGAAGACUCUUUCCAUGUCUUCUUAAGCGAAGUUGUCUCUAGUUAUUGCCCCAAAUCAGAAAGCCACUAGACAUAGUUUAGGAUUAGAUGGAAGUCAUAGCGUCUUCAGAUUAGGUUUAGGGGAUUUAAAUUAAAGAGUCUGAAAAACAGGAUCUUCAUGAUUUAGCAAAAUCAUAUAACUUUUCAUCUUGAUUCCUCCUGUUAACAACAGAAACACACUGCAAGAUGAAAUAGAAAAAGCUACAGGUAGAGGAAUUUGAUUUUGGAUAGUGAGGAAUCAAAAUACACAGUGAAUUCAGAGGCAUCACAUACUUUUAUGAUAUAAGCAUAAAAACUGUUGAUUAUAUAAAUACAUGUAGCUUGAGAAGGAAGCAAUCCGCCUUAACUUAUUACAUAGAAAAUUGAAAAGAGAAAAUCCAAUUGAACAACACAACACACUGCAGAGAGAGAUAAGAAUGCAUAGGAAAAGCAAUAAUACAAUCCAAAUGAGCAACACAUCACACUUUCAAGAAGAAAGAGAACGCAGAAGAAGAAGCGAGGAUUCUGGUUUCUGACAGUGAGGAAUCCCAAUCCAGCUUAAGGGAUGGUUAGACAUACUGAAUCCGCUAAAGAAGAAAAAAAUAAACAAAAGUUAGUGAAUAUUCAUAAAAAAAAUACAUUUCACCUAAAACUGCUAGGAAUAUCCAGCAAAAUCUUAAGAAGCUGAACUAAUAUUAAUCAGUUUCUAUUAAAUAUUUUUAUAUAUUCUUUGCUUAACGAAUGUGAAAGGAAAAGAAGAAGAAGAAAAACACUGUUUGUAGAUAUAGUCAUUUGAACAGCUCAAUGCACAUAUGUAGAAAUUUUAAUGACCCCUCGUAUAUAUCCAUUAAACACAGGUCUGAUGAUUUUCCAGAUAAUUGUCUAAUUUUGUGCCUCAAUUUGUGUUUUGUUGGAUAUCAUGAUGCAAAUGGAUAAUAUCAGACCAAAGAAAAAACGAUCACACCUCAUUCUAACCUUGAGCAAACUUGAAAGAAACGCAGUAAGAUAAAAUAAUUUAUUCAAGCGGAAGAGAAUAAGAGAAAUGAUUACCGAAUGGAUUAAAGGCAAGAUACGUUUUUUGGUAUCUUCAUCCUCCCAUUCAAGCUCAGUUUUCUGUUCUUCAGGACGCAUAUAUAUUCCAAACCCGUCAAGUCGUGGGACACUUGUAGCAUCAAAGGGAAGCUUUCUCAGCUUUGGACAAUUUCCUACAUAUAUGUGCCGCAAUGAUGGAAAGGGGAGAGGACUCCAGUAGAUACUCUCCAGCUCAGGCAACUGUAACAGGGAUAACUUUUCUAGUUUCUGAAAUGGUGUAGUACCUGUAAGAUUGGUUGCUUUCUCUUUGUUUAUGAUUUCUUCUAGUUCUCCUAAAUGUGAAAUGUCUAGCCAAGUCAGAUUUGGAGCAAACAGUAGCCAAGUCAGAUCCUUAAUGCCAGGACAGCUAACCAUUGCCACGACGGAGAGGUUGGUAAAGCGUGGACUUGUCCGAUUGUGUAAAUGAGAUGAGUCGGUCUCGCUUUCUCUGCAUUUAGUAUAUGUAUUAAUCUCCGAGACAUGACUUUUUUUCACACAGUGCUCACGAAGAUUCUCCAUACUCACCAGCGAUGACAUAUUGAAUGGCUUUUCUUUAAAACCUUGAAUAACCAGAUGAAUGAUGCAGUUAGCCAACCUUUGAUCGCCUAAUAUAUGCUUCAAACCCAACUCGGUAGAGAUCGUUAUGUCUAGAACUUGUAGAUGCUACAAGAGCUGCAGCUCCUUCAACAAGCUAACAUCUUCAUGAACUUUAGAAUUUUCUAGUCUCAAAAUUCUUAAACUCGACAGCUUUGAUAUCCCACUGAUACUACAAAGACUCUCUGUACCAGUCAAAUCCAGAUGAAUUAGCUUUUUCAACUCUUGGAAACCAACUGGCAGUUGCUUUAUACUUGUGUACGACAAGUUAAGAUACUGCAAGGAGGCCAGCUUCGAUAUCUGCUCAGGAAGUUUUUGGAAAUCAUCAUUAUCUGAUAGAUCCAAAACAACUAGCUUUUGCAUAGAGCCGAUGAAUUCACCUGAGAGAUUCUUCAACUUAUUCUUCUGGAGGAGCAGAGUUGUAAGUUCAGAACACUUGGAACUGCAUUUUAUCUCUUUAACCUCAUUCCUCAUUAAAGACAUCCUUCUCACAGCUCUCCAAUUCUUGACUUUUGGCGUUUCGUGUAAUCCGACUCCUGCUUGAACAAAAAAAGACUCAGAUGCAAUCCAUAGAGCCAUUUCGCGAACCACGUCAUGCAUCACAACAAGACCUAUCCUAUCAGGCUGUUCUGUCAGUAAAUUUGAGCGGAUAAGGGUACCAAGUACCUCAUAACCCUUAUUCACUGCCCUUUUAUAAGAUUGGUGUUCCCCGAUGAAUCCCUCGCACAUCCAAUAUUUUAUCAAAUCUCCUUUAUCUAUCUCAUAAUCUUCCGGAAACAGAGCACAAUAGAGGAAACACGACUUGAUAUGUUCACCCGCCAAGCUAUCAUAGCUAUACUUCAGAAUCGGAAGAAUUUUGUUUUCCAUGUCAGAAAACUCUGCAGCUGAUCUGGACAAAACAUCGACUGCAAGCUCCCAUUCUUGUACCGUAGUUUGAGAUGACAUUGUCUCACCAAUGACAACAAGCGCUAGUGGCAGACCACAACAUUCUUUAGCGACCUUUUUGGCAAGCUCGACAAUGGCAGGAUCUCUACUUAAUGUAUUAUCUCCUACCUUGCUUUUGAACAAUUCCCAUGCUUCAGUCCAUUCCAAACAGUUGACUUUCAUCGGCUCAUGAUCUCCCAUCCGCCCACAUACUACCCGAGAACGAGUGCUGAAUGUUACUUUGCAUCCAUUUUCUCUGGUUGGAAACGGAACUCCAAUGACUUCUAAAUCAACUUUCUCCCAUAUAUCAUCUAACAUCAGGACAAAUCUCUUCCCUUUUAAAACUCUGUGUAUAUUGAUUGCCUUGUCACUUUCACUUUUGUUCUUCCACUCGCCGUCGCAAAGGUGUAGCUUUUGUGCAAUAUCAUCUUGAAGCUUUGAAGUAGUUGCACCUUGAGACACCACGACCCAGAUCACAACAUCAAAUCUACCAGCCACUUCAGUGAACUUAUUGUGGAUAUUCUUGAAAAGGGUAGUCUUGCCUACACCUCCCAUACCGUGCAAACCCAUGAUUCCAACUCCAUCUUCCAUAAGGCGCUUCCAUGCCUUUUCCAGCAUUGUUUCCUGACCGAUCGUAGGCCCACUAGGCCUCUCUUCUACUACAGAUCUCAAACCCGGCUCAGUAACCUCUUUAGAAUUACCCUCUGAUUUGAGAAUCUGGACCUCUUCCAGCAACAAGAAUACCUUUUUCCCAUAUUUGUAGCUCGAACAUACACUUUUUGAACAUAAACCACAGAGACACAACUUCUUAAGCUCAACAGGACUAGUACUAAGCAGAUCAUUGAACCGUGUAUCGAUGCUCUCGACACGUGUUAGCCAUACCUUGACAGCUUCAAGCCUUUGUUGAUGUUGUGCCUCCUCUCUCGCCACUUUGUUCUUCACCUCAGCUUCAAUUGCCUUGAGAUCAUCCAUUUCCCUCUUCAGAGCCCUGAGAUUCUCCUUGAGGUUUCGAAUAUAACCCUUACCACAUAAGCAUCUGACGAUAUGGUUCAACGUUUGAUCACAGGAAAGUUGGAAAGACACACAAUUCCCCAUGGUGAUAGAAAGAGAGAAAACUUUGAGUAAGCAACAAACGAAAGCUAAAGAUGAAGAAGUGUUUUAUGUGAAAAGCAUUUAACUAAUUCUGAAGAAGGAAGAGAGGAUUAGUUAGAUUUUAGUCUACUAUGCGUUUUAAUUUCCGCCAUUGUUUCGAAGGACGUUUAGUCGUUUACUUUAGAUGCAAUUAUGUUUGAAAAAUUCAAAGGUCAAUUACCAACUCUUAUCAUUAUUAAGAUGCAACUAUGUUUUAAAUUAUACAAAGGUCAAUGAUUUAAUCGCCCAGUUUGGAUUAUUAUGCAACUAUGUUUUAAAAAAACAAAGCUCAAUUAAUGUUUAAUCACUGGGUUUGGAUUAUUAUCAUCACUUGUUGUUAAUUAUUUAAAUCAUUCACUUUAAAAUAUUUGUGAAAAAUCAAUUACUUUAGAAUAUUUUCCAAAUGACAUGGGAACCAAUAACCAUGAUCAAAAACGGUGUGGUGCGAUCGCACGAAGCCAAAAACAACUUACAAGAAAUCUGGAACAGAGCAGACAAUGGAGAAGUCUAAGGAUCUCGUCAAGGCUGAGAACUCAGAAUGGCCUCCAAAUUUUAUCUGCACCUGAAUUCAGAAUGGCCUAACAAAAAGUGCAGAAUGGCUUAUAAAAACUGCCCAUACCAAGCAAAAAAAAAAAAAAAAAAAAAAACAAAAAACAAAGUCAGUCAAUAACAGAUAUCAGUCUCGAAGUUGCUUUUUUGUUUCACCAAAAAAAAGAAAAGAAGAAGUUGCUUCUUUUGUGGGAAAAGCAGAGGUCAUAUAAAGGCUCAUUGUUACAGGUUUCAGAGGAAAGUAAAUCAGUUUUAGAAUCAUCAAGACUAUAUGGAAAAACCAUUGAGAUUCACAGAAGCAAAGAAUUUUAUUUUGGACAUCGAGGAAUAAAAAUCUAAAAUCAAAAUCCAAAGGUACAUUGAAGGAUGUUUAGACCCAAAACGGCUACAAAAGAAAAGAAAGAAAAAAAAGUUAGUGACACUUGUGGAACGCAUUGAAAUUGAGAGGGACAACAUAUUCUGAAAAUAAAAUUCCAUUUUAACAUGUCUGCAGGGAUUAUCCAACUAAUUCUACCUCACCAUUGAUAUCUUAAGAAGCUGAACUAGGUUUAAACGGUUUUGUUGCGGAUAUCACCAAUAUCAAUUCGUUCAAAUUGAGUUUCCGAUCUGAAUCUUUAGAUGAAAUAGAAACGAGAAAUAAGCAAUAGAAACUACACACAAGAUUUAUCCAGUUUAGGGGCCAACCGCGACCCUACAUCUGGCAGAGACUUCCUCGGAAUUCACUAAGAGAAUGGUUUACAGAGUAGCCGUUACUCUCACUGGAAGAUACCCCGAGAAUCCCUUUCACUCACCGGAAAGAUCUCACAGUUUUCACUCACCAAUUACAAAAAAUGGUAUGUCGAAGAAGAUCUCUCUCUCUCUCUCUCUCUCUCUCUCUCUCUCUCUCUCUCUCUGUCUGCAACUAAUUAAUGACCGACCCGUAGUAACAAACCGAAACAACCCCUGCGCGUAAACACACGCUCUAACGGUCACUCUUCGAUAUCAGCUUCUAGAAGAAGCUCGUAACGAUGACGUCUUGGAGUCUUACCUUAUCCGGUUCACCUAAUCCUGAAAUCAAUAUCCUGACUUCAUAAACCGGAACCUGCUAAUUGAACUAGAUGGUUUAUCAACCAAACCCAUCGGACAGGUUUUUUAACUUUCUCUUUUAACAUUUUUCUCCUCCCAUAUAUUCUUUGCUGAACAAGAAACCCAAAUGCCAAAUGUGAAAGAAGAAGAAGAAGAAUUAUUUGUGAUUUGAUCAUUGAAGAAUUCAAUACACACAUGUUUUGUAAUUUUGGAAUUAAUGAUACCCCAUACAAAUCCACCAAACACAUGUUUUAUUUUCAACGUAAUUUUACAGUUUGUGAUCCAGAUUUGUUUGUUGAGUAUCAUGAUGUACAUAUGGAUCAUAUCAGUCUAAUAAAACGAUUCAGACCUCAUGCUAACCUUGAGUGAAAGAAACUUAGUAGUAAAAAUAAUUACCCAAACAGAAGAGUUUAAAGGCAUCUUCUAUAUAUAAUUCUAUAUUUUACUCUAUUUAGAUACUCCAUUUUUAGAGUAAUUCUAUUUUUAGAGUAAUUCCAUUUUUUAAUAGUAAUUCCAUUUUGGAGUGAAAUAUGAAAUAGGUUUAGAGAGAAUUUUCUUCGAACUCGAAAUUUGGAGUAGAGUCGGAGAUGAUCUAAGAGAACUGAUUACCCCAUCGAAUGAACGCAAGAAACGAUUCUUGGUAUCUUCGUCCUCCAUUCAAGCUCAGUUUUUUGUUCUUGAGGAAUCAAUCUUAUUACAAACUGGCCAACUCAUGAGAAACUUGUAGCAUUUAAGGGUAGCUUUCUCAGCUUUGGACAGAGAUCAGCUACUAUGUGCUUCAGAAAUGGAAAGGCAAGAGGACUCCCGUAGAUACUCUCCAGCUUAGGCAAAUUCCUAAAUGUUAUAAAUUUUAGUUUAUGAAAUGGUCUUAUACCUGUAAGAUUGUUACUUUUUUGUUUACAAUGUCUUCCAGUCUUCUUGAAUUUUCAAUCUGUAGGUAGACAAAAUAUAUUGACUAGAUUAUGUUGAAAAAUGUCAAUCUCUAAAACAUUGCUUCAGUUCGCCAACCUUCAAUCGCCCAAUAAUUGCUCCAAAUCCAACUCCGCAGAUAUGAUUAUGGUUAGAACUUGUGGAUUCUCCAAGAGCUGAAGCUCCUUCAAUAAGCUAGCAUCUCCAUGAAAAUUAGAAUAUUGGAAUUUCAAAAUUCUUUAACUUGAUACUUUUGAUAUCCCAUUGAUACUAGAAAGUCUCUAUGUAACAAUCAAAUUCAGCUGACUUCGCUUUUUAAAAUCUUGGUAGCCAACAUGGAGUUGCUCUAUACUGUAUACAACAAGUCAAGAUACUGCAAGGAUGCCAGCUCUGAUAGUUUUUUCAUAGAGCGGAUGAAUUUACCUGAGAGAUUUUUCAAAUUAUCACUCUGGAGGAACAGAGUUUUAUAAGUUCAGAGCACUUGGAAAUGCAAGUUAUCUCUUUAAUCGUAUUCUUCAUUAAAGACAUCCUUCUCACAGCUUUCCAAUGCUUGACUUUUGGUACAUAACCCUUAUUCUUCGCUCUUUUAAAAACUUGGCAUUCUCCAAUGAAUCCCUCGCAGAUCACGUACUCUAUCAAUUUUUCUUUAUCUAUUCGAACAUCUUCUGGAAACAGAGCACAAUAAAAGAAACAUGACUUGAUACGUUCAUCCACCAAGCAAUUGUAGCUGUACUGGACAUUUUGCUAAUGUUGAGCAAACAUGACUUUAUCUAUAGAGGAAACAUGACUUUAUCUAUAGUGUUUUUGGUCAAUAGGUGGAAUGCAUUUAGCUAAUGACGAUGAAAGAGAGAGAUUGUGUUAGAUUUCAUUCCUCUUUGCUUUGUAAUUUCUCCCAUAGUUUCAAAGUCGUCGACUUGAUGCAACCAUGUUUUUAUAAAGAUGAUUAAUCCCCAGUUUCGGAGUAUUUUAAUCACAUUAGAUGCCACUAUGUUUUAAAAGACAAAGCUCAAAUUCGUUGACUUGAGCUUUUCAAGAACGAUUUGAAACGUGUGGCUGAUGUUCCAGAAAGAAAUGCACCUGAUUUCAGAAUGGCCUCCAGAAACCUGCACCAUACCAAGUAAAAUCAAAACAAAUUAAAGUCAGAUAAUAAAAAAUUAAAAGAGGAAUGCUUCUGGGGGACAACUCCUAAGCAGCAUUGCUCUUGGAUUUGGAAAUCUAUUCUCUCUCUCUUAUGCCCCUUGCAAAGAAUCUGAUCGGAUGUGAUGUUAGGGAUGGCGUGUCAACAAGUUUCUGGUUUGACUCUUGGACCAAUUUAGGUCUGUUGAUUGACUUGACAGGUCUUGAUGACCCACAAAAAAUGGGAAUUCCUCUUUACUCUUCGGUUGCUGACUCUUGUUCUCCCAACGGGUGGAGACUUUCCUCAGCUAGGACCAGAGACUCAUCUCAUUUAGCUAUCCGCAACACCAUUACUGAGUUAUCCAUCCCGCACCAAGAUCAGGGUGGAGACGUGUUUCUUUGGGGUGUAGAAGGUUCAAGAAGAGAUUAUUUCUGUACCAGCAAAACUUGGCAUAUUCUGAGGCUUAAGGAGGAUAUAAAACGUUGGUUGAAAGCUGUGUGGUUCAAGAGAGCCACUCUGAAGCAUGCUUUCACCUUUUGGACGGCAAACUAAGACAGGUUACCACUGAAAACAAAGCUUGUGAGCUGGGGAAUUAAUAUCUCUCCAACAUGCUGCCUUUGUGACAUGGAGGAAGAGACUAGAGACCAUUUGUUUCUACACUGUCCAUUUUCUGAAGCAGUUUUGACCAUGGGGAUUCGGCGACUCGAAUUUUUUUGGAGUCUCAUUCUCUAAUUGGCAGUCCAUGAUCAACUGGAUGCUUCAACGAACACCAAGACUCUCCUCUACCCUGAAGAAGAUCCCAGGCGACAAUUUACUUGUUAUGGCGUGAACGAAACCAGAUAAUACAUGAUGGUCCUCUAUCUUCUGAAAACCAUCUCUUCGAUUAGUUGGAUAGACUGAUUAGAGACACAUUGUUGGCACACAAUCCCAGCGUAACUAUAGGGGUCUUCUAUCUCUUUGGUUUAAGAGCCACUAGUUCUUCAAGCUCGAUUGUAAUUCUACUAAAAUGAUCUGUUUCCAAGCCUUUUUCCUUUUUUUAGGCUUUUGAAACAGUGGCUGAGAGAUUUAUAGAAUAGCAGCGGAUUAAGCAAGAAUAUAGAGAGAUUUAGGUGAGAUUAAUGAAAAACUAAAGAAAAGAAGAGAGAAUCAAGAGAUUUAGAGAAAAAGAUAUGUAUUCUCAUUUUCUUAGAUCUAUAGAAAGCUGCUACAUGUGUUUAAGUAGGAAGACAAAGAAAACCCUAACACAUAUGGGCUUACUAAAUACCUUAUAAAGUUUUAUAAAGUUUAUAAAAUCUUAUAAAGUCUUAUAAAGUCUUUUAAAGUUUUCUAAUUGGAUUCCCACCAGAAAAGCUGAGAAUGAUCCAUCUUGUUUAACAGUGGCUAAUGUAAUAUACAAUAUAAUUCAAAUUUUAUUUUAAAAAAUAUAAGUUGCUUCUUUUGUGGGCAAAAAACAGGUCAUACAAAAGCUCGUCGUUAGUCUUUACAAGUUUCAGAGGACAGUAAUAUAUAAAAUCAUCAAAUUAUAUCGAAAACCCAUUGAGAUACACAAAAGCGUGUGUUCAAGAGGAAAGAAUUGUACAAGAAUAAUCUAUAACAUGUUGCAUCUAAUUGUGUCGAUGUUACAUGGGAUCUUCUUCGUCCAUCUACUAUAGUCAUAACAGGAUGUUAAAGCAAGACUUAAAGAUGAUGGAUCCGAGUCUGAAGUUACAGAAACGUGGAUUAAGCAAUAAAUUGGAGAUGAUGAAAAUAAGUUAUGCCCAAAGUAGCUUAUGAUGUGGAAGUGGGUUUUGUUUUUUUUUUGCGAAUCCUAAAAGAUUAUUGUGUUGUGCUGAUUCUACGUUAGUCUUAGAAGAAUGGAGUGUGUAAAAUAGAGAAAAUUUUAUAAAAGAAGUAACGUUCAUAUGUAGAAAAGCAUGCUUUUGAAUGAAUAAUGACUUGGUUUAUUUUUCUGUUGAAAGAAAAAAAAAUUAUUUAAUAUUUCAAAACGAGUGUAAAAGUGGAAUACUUUCUCGCGACAGAAAAAAUAUUCACUGCUGGUGAUCUAAAUGACGAUCCCAAAUAGACAAAUAAUAUUAGAAAUCUAUCUAUACACUAUUAUUUGCGAGGUUAAAAAUUUUAGGUGUCGUUCCCACAACAAUUGUUCUACAUGGCAUUAAUGAAAAAAUAUUAUUUAUCGUUUUAAUUUGUUUUGAUAAAUCGAUCAUUAAUCCUACGUGUAAAAACUUGUGACUUGGCUUUUUUCUUCGAUAAUGGGCUACAGAAUUUGUUCAUGGGCCAGCGAUUUUGUUUUCACUCAUAGCCACCGAUUCUGGUAAUAGGGCACCAACGUCGAAACCCUAAACUCUAAAGCAUAUAUCCUACUAUAUAUACAUGUAUUAUCUACAUAUAUUUUUACAUACAACAACCGUCUUCAAGGUCUAGCAAUUUUUACAAAACUCGUCCACCUCUAUUACACGAAUACAUCUUUUUUAUAUCCCAAUCUGGUUUAAAAUAUAUCGUUUGUUUAGUUGGUUGUUCUUCCAUGCUAACCUUUGAAUCGUUUUGUUCUGAUCGAGAUUCUUUUAUGCUAACCAGUCAAAUAUCUAUGUUUUUUCUCUAUCAUGUUCUAUAUUACUAUGCAUCACAACUAUCUUAUUUUUUAACCCCUGUUUUACUCUCUAUGCGAUUGGUCAUCGAGAUAUCAUAUUUGUGUUCUUUCUUUUGCUUUGUAAUUCUAUAUAUAAAAUUCGAUGCUUCAGUAUUAGAUAUUCAUGUUUCUCUUUAUUAAAUUUUUCUUAUGGUUAUAUUUGAUAUUAUUCGUAAAUCUAAAUUGACCUGAGCUUCUUUAUUGUUUUCCUUGAACCUAGAGUUCAUCGUGCAAACUAUAUGUGAUUGGUUCAAACUUUUGCAAUCAUAUCUUCAAAUGAAUCUAACAUGUAAUUGUAAAUAAAUCAUUAGUACUUUUUUUGUCAACAACUUAUUAGGACUUCUAAUUUUCUUAAUUGAUAUUCGUAAACUCUCUAAUUUAUUAUUUUGAUAUUCUUAGAAGGAUCAAAACCAUAGAAAUGAGUUUUUUUGUGUGUAUAAUUCAUGUUUUAGUUUAGGUUUGUAUUAAUUUUUCUGGUAACAUAUUGUGAAUGAAUGUUAUUUAUUGUUUGAUUGUUUGAUUGUUCUUUGUUUCUCCUUGGGUUCUACUUUACAUUUUCUUUAUAUUGUUGUUUAUGUUUAUUUUUAUUUCUAAAUAUAAUUUAUGGUUUUCGUGGUAGCUUUUGUGGACAAGUAAAAAAAAAAAAGAGUAACCAGUUCAGAUUAAUUUUGGUUUCAUAGUUUACUAAAGAUAUGUAACAUGAACAAAACGUCUAUUGUUUUAUAACAUUCCCAUUGUUUUCUACCCAAAGGCAAUUAUGUUGGUUCUGGAAAAAAUGUUUUAUAGUUUUGAUUUUUACCCAACACAUUCUUUUAUCAGAAAAACAUUAAAUUACUCUCAAGAUUAAACUUAUCAGGCAUUAAAGCAAUAUCUUUGUUGGUAAGUCGAUGAAUGAGAAUGUGAUGUCUCAUAACUUCAAAGAGCAAAGGAAAAAUAAGUGACAACGAGACUAGAUUCGGUGUGAGUAGAAUCUUUACGCAUGUUAAGUACUUGUUGAUAUACAACAAUCGUAUUGAGAACAGAGUGCAAACCAAUUGCAAAUUGCACCAUCCAAUUGGUGUUAAAUUAUAUUAUGGUUAAUCCCUGACCCAUUUCUUAGUUUCAUCAUUUGUUAAUGAAUCAUCAGUUUUUUUUAACCCCUGAUGAGAGAUAAAAUCAGCUGAAGGAAGGAGAGUCACCAAUACAGAGAAAGAAGAAUUUUUGCUAUAAAAUAUUCAGGUCUUAAUUUUCAUCAUCCUUGUAAUUUGUUUCAGCUUGCUAAAACUACUUUUUUAGUGUUGCAGACUUCAUCAGAAUACCUAAUAAAUUGAUGAUUCUCUGACACCAGAAUCUAAGAAAUAUACUCACACGUGAUAAACUGAAAUUUUUGUGAAUUGCAGAAUGAACAUACUCACACGUUGCAUUUCUCAUAUGUUUUGAUGUCUAACAAGUAAUUCUUGUGUCAUAUAGCUUUGUUGCUUUAAAAUUUUAGUUUUUGAAUUGAAUUUAUCUUAAAACAAUCCAUCCUUUGAUUGCUUCUCUAAAACCAAAAUCUUACAAGACAAAGCUUAUAUUGUAUCUUCGAAGAAGGUUGAAGAAUGAGAUGAAAUCUCGAGUAUGUUUCUAUGUUCAAAAAACUCAAAUCAGAUUGUUAUGUGUUUCUGAAGUUCACUGGUUUAGUACUUGAACACGAGCAAACAGAGAUUGAACACUCAUACAUUGAGUUGGACAAUACUAAAACGGGUCGGAAUCCCUUACUGAAAUGCGUGAGGAAAACACAGAAGCUAAAGAAAAUAAUGGAUGAAAUGAAAAAAGAUAGUUGGGUGGCAAAUAAAUGUGUGAUUGAUAUGAAAAAUUGGAAAAAAGAGAUGACGAAGACUUGAAGGUAAUGAAGAGAACAAAAUUGAGAAGGAGAAGUUGAGGAGAUAAGGCUAAAGCUAUAUUGUAGAAUUUAUCAUUAAUUUAAAGAGAAGAAGAAGACGAAAAAGAAGGGAAAACCUAAGGAGAUAUAAGUUAUGAAUAUAGAGAGGGAGGUAUGGAGAGAGAGAGAGAGAUGGAGAAAGAAGGAGAGAGAGGGAGAUACAGAGAGAGGGGGAGAUACAAAGAGAGGGGGAGAGACAGCGCGAUGGAGAGAGAGGGGGAGUGAGGAGAUACAAAAAGAGAGGGAGAAGGAAGGAGGGAGAUAGAGACAGACAGAGAGAGAGAUGAAAACAUUGUAUGUGCAAGUAAACAAAUCAGAAUAUGAAAACAAGAGAAAAUAUGAAUCAGAAUAAUAAUCAUUCUGAAAAUAUGAAUACAAUGAAGACUGAGAAGCAGUGAAAAGACAAAGAAAAUCAAAAUAAAAUGUCGGGAGACUAGAUGAUGAUGAAGAAAAGGAUGAGGGAUAGGAAGACUGAAAGAUAUGUAAGAGGAAGAAGAAGAAGAAGUAGAAGUAGAAGUCAAAGACGAUGAAGAAAAAGAAGGAAAAAACAAGGAAGAAAAAACUCCGAAAGAUGAAUAAGAGGAAGAAGAGAAAAAUGAAUUCAAUGGAAAGAAGAAGAAUAAAAAUUCGAAGAGAAAGAAGAAAAAUACAUUGAAAUGGGAUAAAAAAGAAGAAUACGAGUAAACCCGGAAAAAAAAUUUCAGGGGAAAGAAUUGAUCAAACACAUCAAAAAAGAGUAAGAAAAAUACGAAGAAGAAAAAAAUAAAAGAUAAGGAAUAUGAAGAAGAGUUGAACAAAGAAGGAGAAAACAAAGAAGAAGACAAAUAAGAAGAGAAAGAAGAAGUAGAAAUAAAAAGAUGAGGAAUAAGAAAAGCGAAAAAUAAAUAAGAAAAAGAAGAAGAAAAGGCAAAGGCGAUAAAAAAUAAUUUCAUUUUAUACAUGAUUCUUCUGAUUGUUUAUAUGUAUUGUAACUAUCUAAGCUUUUGGCUAUAACUGGUCAUUGGUUUUUGUUGUCUUACAGUGUAUAGGUACUUCCUCUCUUCCCUUGUAUAUUUGUACGUGAUUAUCGUGACAUUUCUACGUAGGUAUUAGAGUAUUGAUACUUACGAUCUAAUUACACAUAUAUUGGAUGGUUGGAAGACAAUGAAGAAAAAUAAUAAAAAAAAAGAUGAUAAAGAAGAACAACCAAAAGAUAAAGAAGAAGAAAAAGAAGAAAACGAAUAACCAUUAUGUGGAAAUGAAAAAUUCGUAUUUGUAUUAGUUUAGUUUGUUUGUAAGUUUUAUACAUUUAUUUAGUAUUGCAUUUUGGGUGUUUCAUUUUAUGGAUUUGUUUUAUUUUGGUCAUAUUAAGUCACAAUUGUUUUGAUUUUCUUGAUUCACAUAAUAUAAAGUUUUGUUUUACAAUUUUAAAUCUCUCAAAGGUCCGCGCAAGGAGCUGACAAGACACCUAGUUUUAAUUUAAAUAAAAACAGAUUUUAUUUGAAUUCAAAAUGAUUAUUGGUAAGCCGGUGAUCACUUUGUAUUUUAAAACUUAAAAUUUUUUUUUAAGUUAAUACUCUUCUUCCCUAAAUAUUAAAAAAAGAAUGGGCAUUAUGACAAUCUUACUUUGUCUUGUAAAGAAAAAACUUAUGUUUUUCCUAACUCGAACGUUACAUCAUUAAUCGAAAUUAAAAUGUUCGACCUGAUAAAGAUACAUUCCAAACACGAGAAGCAAACGUAGCUGCGUAUCUUCUAUCAUAGCUGUAUCAAGUAUUGAGUAUGGUAAUCGAUUUGUAUUAUUGAUGAAGUAUAGUCACAAUAUAUACAAGAGGAGAGGCCAAUAUACAACGGUAAUCUACAUUAACUAUAUGAGCGAUUAUAGGAGAUGAUUAUAGGAUAUGAUGAGAUAUGAGGAAUAUGUGUUUCCAUAUUCUAUCACACCCACUCAAGAUGGACGGCCUGGUGAGAGUCUGAUCUUGACAAAAAGAGUUUGUAAUCGAGCUCGGGAGAGUGGUGUCGUGAGAGCAUCAGCCAACUGAUCCGGAGAUGUGACAUGAGUAACUCGCAGCUGGCCAGGCUGAACAAACUGGCGUACGAAAUGGUAGUCUAAAGCGAUAUACUUCAUCCUAGAAUGAAAAACAGAGUCUAUUGCUGCCAAAUAUGUAGCUCCUAUGUUGUCAGAAUAAAUGACUGGAGUGGAGGUGACAUUGAGGCCCAAUUCUGAUAGGAGAGAUGAAAUCCAGCAAACUUCAGCAGUGCUAGACGCGACUGAGGUAUUCAGCUUCGGUAGAAGAGCGAGAGACCCCAGUUUGUUUCUUCGAGGACCGAGCAAUGGGAUGACUUCCGAAGUAGACAAUAUAAGCAUUUGUGGAUGUGUAGUCGUCUUUGUUACCCACUCAAUCAGCAUCGGUGAAGGCAUGCAGAUCUGGUUUGUUGUUCGCUCGUAGAUAGAUGCCGUGAGAUAUAGUACCAGAGAGGUAGCGCAGGAUUCUUUUUACGGCAGUCCAAUGUUCAGUGGUCGGACGAUGCAUGAACUGAGAUAGUUUGUUAACAGAGAACAAGAUAUCAGGCCUAGUAAGGGAGAGAUAUUGAAGACUCCCCACAAUAAUUUGGUAUUCUGUUGCAUCAUCUAAGGCAGUACCGGAGAGAAGAGUGAGCGAUGAGUUGGCUUCCAUUGGUGUUGAGACAUGUUUAGCAUUGGUCAUGUUGGCCUUGUGCAUUAAAUCUGCAAUAUAACGACGUUGUGUUAGGUGUAGUCCAUCUUUCGUACGAGUUACCUUAAUACCUAAAAAUAAGAUAAAUCACCUAAGUCUUUAAGGGAGAAACGUUGAGAAAGGGAAGCGAUAAACCGAGAAAUAUGAGAGGAACUGUUGCCAGUGAUUAUGAUUUCGUCGACAUAAACAAGCAUGUAGAGAAGAAUGUCGUUCUGCUUAUAUAUGAACAGAGAGGCAUCAGCGACAGAGUUUGUGAAGCUGGAUUGAGGGAGAAACGUGCACAGCUCAUUGUACCAAGCUCUUGGAGCUUGUUUAAGGCCGUAGAUGGCUUUAUGGAGUUUGCAUAUUGCUUGUGGAUUUUCUUUGUCUUGGAAACCAGGCGGUUGGAUCAUAUAAACUUCAUUUUGAAAAUGUCCUUGUAAGAAGGCAUUGUUGACGUCAAGUUAUCGCAUCGACCAAUUCCGUGAAAAAGCUGUUGCGUCUACCACUGCUGAAGUUUGCUGGAUUUCGUCUCUCCUAUCAGAAUUGGGCAUCGAUGUCACAUCCACUCUAGUCAUUUAUUGUAACAACAUAGGAGCUACAUAUUUGGCAGCAAACCCUAUUUUUCAUUCUAGGAUGAAGCAUAUCGCUUUAGACUACCAUCUCGCACGUCAGUUUGUUCAGUCUGGUCAGCUGUGGGUUACUCAUGUCACAUCUGCGGAUCAGUUGGCUGAUGCUCUCAUGAAACCACUCUCCCAAGCUCGAUUCCAUACUCUUUCUAUCAAGAUCGGACUCUCACCAGGCCAUCCAUCUUGAGGGAGUGUGAUAGAAUAUGAAAACACAUAUUCCUCAUAUCUCGUCAUAUCCUAUAAUCAUCUCCUAUAAUCGCUCAUAUAGUUAAUGUAGAUUAACGUUGUAUAUUGGCCUCUCCUCUUGUAUACAUUGUGACUAUACUUCAUCAAUAAUACAUAUCGAUUACCAUACUCAAUACUUGAUACAGCUAUGAUAGAAGAUCAGCAGUUACGUUUGCUUCUCGUGUUUGGAAUGUAAUCUUUAUCAGGUUGAACAUUUUAAUUUCGAUUAAUGAUGUAACGUUCGAGUUAGGAAAAACAUAAGUUUUUUCUUUACAAGACAAAUUAAGAUUGUCAUUAUGCCCGUUCUUCUUUAAAUAUUUAGGGAAGGAGAGUAUUAACUUACUCAAACUCGAAAGGAAAAGCAAUGGUGUAGUAUAGGAGUAUCCAUUAACGAUCUGUAACGAACAUUACUAAACGACUCAUGUUUCAAAUGAAGAAAAUUAUAAUUUACUAACAAUUAUUUUGGGUAUAUCUUACGGUCUUACAUGGUGUUUAAAACUCUCUUAUCCUAAGAUAUAACAACAAAAUACCAUAUUCGUAUUCAUUUAGUAUAAUCUUUUUUUUUUCCUUACUUUACCGUUACAUCAUUCAAGCAAACAACACCUUUUGAUCAACACAAUAAUAGAACACACAAAUGAAUUACAGAACGUGAGUAGUGUUAAAAAGAGAAAAUUUUACUUGACAACAAAUCAAAUGAGAAUUUUCACACAAAAACAAGAAAAAAAAAAGAGAGAAAACUUAUUACCCUGAAAUUGAAUAUUCUAUUUUCAGAGAAAUAUGAAACACUCUACGCAACAAGCGGGUUCUCUAACAAUUCCUCAGUGGUAUAACCGUAAUUCUGAUACUGUUGCUGAUCCGACCCGUUUUUGCUCGGAUCUAGCCUAACCCGAGCCGGAGGCUGAUUGUUUUUCAUAGUCCCUGCCCCACCCACCCGACUCUGAUUCGAAUCCAUCAUGGAUCUGUUCGUUGCCGGUGAUCUCGUCCUUCUUCCGGAUCUCUCACCAUUACACGUACCCGAACCGAAUCUCGCUCCAUUACACGUACCGGUGUUUCUCUUACGAGGAGAUUGAUCGGUUCUUCUUCGGGUCGGGUAAUUAUUCCCUGUGACCCGGGUCCAAGAUUUAGCCGGAGAUCUCUGAGACAUGACUAUAAACCACCUCGACCUCACGAAGAUUCGCCAUACUCACCAGCAAUGGCUUUUCUUCAAAACCGAGAAUACACAGAUAAUUGAUGCAGUUAGCCAACCUUGGAUCGCCUAUGUGGAGUAGUUGUCGUUUUGGUGUCUAAGUCGUUUCUUAAUGGGCUUGCGACAUCAGGUGGGCUUCUACGUUUUACAAGUCUCGACUAAAAACAAGAGCUGGGCCUUACGGGAAAAUUGGCCCGAGCUCAAGGUUGUUAAAAACAAUCAUCGUUGACCAAGUCUUCGUCUUCUACAAUUGGAAUAACAGAACAGAGAGAGAGCGAAUUCUACAGAGUUCUAGAGAGAGAAAGUUUUCUUCUCGGUGAUCGGAGUUACAGCGAUCGGGUUGGUCGAUCUCGGAGGUCUCUGCGUCGAUUCUUUUCCAAGAGUUUUCCCUGCAAAUAGCUGUAGAAAGAUUCAGCAAAAGGUUCACUUGUAUAUCUGUUCUAAACGUUGAUAUAGUGAACGCAUGGUAGUUUAGUUCUACCCCCAGACGUACCGCGAGGGAACUGGGUUAACAAGUUUGCCUGUGUCAUUAGUCUAGAUUCUUCCGCAAGAACACCUUAGUUGAAUCUAGCUCAAUCGAAUUGAUCAAGCUUUUGGGACUAAGAAAUUGAUUCUAGUGUUAGUCGGAUUUCUUAACAAAGUGGUAUCAGAGCAUAGGCUUAUAGAUCGCCGGAGGGAUUACGGUUAAGUGAUCAGGGGGCGAUCUUGGAUCUGAGUUCGAUUGGUUAUCUUUGAAAUUCCUGAAGUCAGUCGAGUUUCUUCUUGGACCAAGUUAUUACUGCAUUCUUUUGGUCUUGGCUCAAGAACAGGAAAGAUGGAAGCAGUUAAGAAGUUUGAGAUGGAGAAGUUUGAUGGCAAAGGUGAUUUCGGUAUGUGGAAGUUUCGCAUGUUGAUGCAACUUGAGUUGCAAGGUUUUGGGAAACAAGUAAAGGAAAUCACAGGAGAGGUUAAGGAUGACACAAAAGGCAAGGACUUAGAAGAAGUGGACUCUGAAACAGGUGUGGCGUUAACUCCGGACCAGAUCAUAGAAAGAGAUGUGAGAAUCCGGAAUCUCAUAUGCUCAAGCUUAACAUCAAUGGUCCUCAGAAAAGUCAUGAAGGAAACGACAGCAGCUGGUGUGUGGAAAGCCUUAGAGGCUGAUUAUCAGACGAAGACUCUACCUAACAGAAUCUAUCUCAAGCAACGGUUUGCAAGUUACAGGAUGGACAAGAAUAAAUCAAUAGAUGAAAACAUGGAUGGUUUCUUGAGACUGGUUGAUGAGUUGGAAAGUUUGAAUAUCCAGAUAAGCGAUGAAGAUUAAGCCAUUCAAGUGUUGUCCGGGUUGCCCGAACAGUAUGCUUCUUUGGUGCACACAUUGAAGUAUGGAAACAAAGGCAAGGAUACCCUGACACUAGCUGAAGUGGUGCAAUCAGCUCACGCAAAGGAGGUGGAGCUUCGUGAGUCUGGUCUCUUGAAUAAGUCAAACCACACAUCAGAAGGGUUAUACGCGGGUCAAGGAAAGUCUGUAAAGAAAAGCAAAGGAAAGUUUGCUGGGGGAAAACAGAAGUCUGGGAAAUCAAAGAAGGAUUCCCAGGGAGGACAAGUCAAAGCACGAGAGUGCUGGGUGUGUGGCAAGGAAGGUCAUUUUAAGAAAGACUGUCCACAAAAGAAAACUCAGGCAUCCUCAAGCUCAGCAAAUUUGGCUCAAGAAAGUGAGAAACCAAUGAUUCUCACGGCGAGCACAAAAUAUGCUAAAGACGAGUGGGUGCUGGAUUCAGGGUGUACGUUUCACAUCACACCAGAAAAGGAUCUACUAUUUGAUCUCACGGAAUUUAAUGGAGGAAAAGUGUUAAUGGGAAAUAACACAUUUAGUGAGAUCAAAGGUAUAGGAAAACUGAAGAUUGUUAAUCCAAGCAAUUCAACAGUUGUUCUAACUGAGGUAAGAUACAUGCCAUCAAUGGGCAGAAAUCUGAUUUCCUACGGACAGUUGGAAAAGGAAGGAUGUUCUUAUGAAGGGAAAGAUUUCACGGUCACAUUCAAAAAGGAUGGGAAGAAUGUUCUUACUGGAAAGUAUAAAGACGGGCUCUACUACUUACAAGGGUCAGUAGUUGAAGGAGAGGUGGAUACAGUUUCUAGAGCUGCGGUUAAUCUGACAAACAGGUGGCAUUCCAGGUUGGGGCACAUGAGCUUAAAGAAUAUGAAUCAGUUGGUUAAAGAUGGUUAUCUUAACAAAAAGGAAGUUCAUACUCUGGAUUUUUGUGAAGAAUGUGUUCUUGGGAAAGCACACAAGUUAAGUUUUCCAACAGGCAAGCAUACAUCAACCGUGAACUUAGAAUAUGUUCACAGUGAUCUUUGGGGAUCUGCAGCGAAUUCUGAGAGCUUAUCAGGCUGUAAAUAUUUCUUGACCAUCAUUGAUGACUAUUCCCGAAAGGUCUGGAUCAGAUUUCUAAGGAGUAAAGAUGAAGUGUUUGGAAAUUUUUCAGAAUGGAAGCUCUUGGUGGAAAAUCAGACGGGUAAAAAGAUCAAGUGUCUCAGGACGGAUAAUGGGUUGGAAUUUUUCAAUGUUCAAAUGGACAAGAUAUGCAAGGACUCAGGAAUAAAGAGGCAUAGGACCUGUACCUAUACUCCACAGCAAAAUGGGGUUUCAGAAAGGAUGAACAGGACCAUUGCUGAUAAGGUUAGGUGUAUGUUAGCGGAAUCUGGAUUGGAGAAAAAGUUUUGGGCAGAAGCAGCAUCUACAGCAGUAUAUCUCAUCAACAGGACACCUAAUGCAUCACUUAAGUUCAAGAUACCAGAAGAGUUGUGGUCAGGGACAAAAAUCGGAUAUGAUCAUCUCAGAAGGUUCGGGUGUAUAGCUUAUGUUCAUACUAUUCAAGACAAGAUCAGUCCUCGGGCUUUAAAAGGUAUUUUUAUGGGGUAUCCUCAUGGAACCAAGAGUUACAGGAUCUGGUUGUUAGAAGAACAAAAGACUACAAUCAGCCGAAAUGUUAUCUUUGAUGAAUCCAGGGUGUAUAAGGAUUUGGGGAAAAAUGAAGAAGAAAGCCUUGAACUUAGUGAAAAGGUUGUCAUUAACCCAAAGACUAAGAAGGUCCCAGGCUCAAGGGUCACAAGAGUAAACAGAGCAGGCUCAUCUGGAAGGAGACGAUCUACGGUUCAAGGUGGAGCUGUUUCAGUUGAGUCAGAAGAUUCAGAUACCGAAGAAAAUGGGUCUGAGGGUGAUCAAGAAGAUGGUUCUGAACAGGAAAAUGCAGGGGUGGAAGAAAAUCUAGAUAACUAUAUCUUAGCUAGGGACAGAGAAAGAAGAACGAUUCGUCCCCCAGCAAUGUUUGAAAGUGGGGACUAUGUUGCUUAUGCCCUAGCAAGUGCAGAAUUGAUUGAACCUCAAGAACCGAGAACUGUUUCAGAAGCGAGAAGAAGUAAAGAGUGGAAACAGUGGAAUGAGGCCAUGGUAGAGGAGAAGCAAUCUCUUGAUAAAAAUCACACAUGGGACAUUGUGGAUAGACCUCAGAAAAAGAAGAUCGUUGGUUCGAAAUGGAUUUUCAAAUUGAAAGAGGGAAUUCCAGGAGUUGAACCACCUAGAUACAAAGCAAGACUUGUAGCUAAGGGAUUCACUCAGGUGGAAGGAAUAGACUACAACGAGAUCUUCUCUCCAGUAGUGAAACAUGUCUCGAUAAGGAUAAUGCUAUCAGUGGUUGUGAAUUUCGAUAUGGAACUCGAGCAACUAGACGUGAAGACUGCAUUCCUUAAUGGUAAACUAGAUGAAACUAUUUACAUGGAACAACCAGAGGGUUUUAUCGAGAAAGGAAAUGAAGGAAAGGUAUGUCUGUUGAAGCGGUCUCUUUAUGGUUUAAAACAGUCGCCGAGACAGUGGAAUCACAGGUUCAAUGAGUUCAUUCAGUCACAAGGUUUUAAGAGAAGUGUGAAGGAUCCAUGCGUGUAUUACAAAGGUUCAGUUGUGGAGGAUAGUGUCUACUUGUUAUUAUAUGUUGAUGACAUGUUAAUAGCAGCUAGAGACAUGGUGAAGAUCAGGGCACUAAAGAAGAGUUUGAGUGCAGAAUUUGAAAUGAAGGAUCUUGGAGCAGCUAACAGAAUUUUGGGAAUGGAGAUCAUAAGAGACAGGAAAAAGGGAAUUCUGAAGCUUUCACAGGCAAGAUACAUAAGUCAAGUUUUAAGGACGUUUAACAUGAAAGAAAGUAAGCCUGUUGUCACGCCAAUAAACUCAUUGUUCAAACUUAGAAGUUUAUCAGAGGAGGAGUUAAGGGUUGAAGCUUCUCUAAUGGAAUCAGUUCCCUAUGCAAGUGCAGUGGGAAGUCUGAUGUAUGCCAUGAUUGGGUCAAGACCGGAUUUGGGUUAUGCAGUUUGUUUGGUGAGUCGGUUUAUGGCAAAGCCAGGAAGGAAUCAUUGGGCUGCUGUUAAAUGGGUUUUGAGGUAUCUUCGGGGAGCUACAGAUUUAAGUUUGACUUUCUCAAGGGCUGAUUCAAUGGAAAUUGAAGGUUUCAGUGAUUCAGAUUAUGCUACUGAUCUUGACAGAAGAAGAUCAGUAACAGGUUAUGUUUUUCAGGUUGGAGGAAAUACUGUUAGUUGGAGGUCCACAUUGCAGCAUGUAGUGGCUUUGUCCACCACAGAGGCUGAAUAUAUGGCCAUGUCAGAAGCAACUAAGGAAGGUUUAUGGUUAAGGGAAUUUUGCAACGAGUUGGGGUUUAAUUUUGAGUAUUUUAAGCUACAUAGCGACUCUCAGAGUGCUAUCAAUUUGGCUAAAAAUGCAGUUCAUCAUGACAGGACAAAGCACGUUGCUACCAAGAUUCAUUUUAUCCGAGACAUCCUAGAUGAAGGGCUAAUCCGCAUUGUUAAAGUUCACACUACUCUAAAUCCGGCAGAUAUGUUGACUAAGAGUUUACCUGGAAAUUCUUUCGAGAAGUGCCUCGUAACUCUCAAAGUCGUCGCCUGAUCGUCUACAGGCGUACUCGUUGAUGGCUCUGUUGGUUGGGCCAUCUCGCACGAGAAAUAAGGAGGAACAGGGUUAGUUUCUCGGUGGAAAAGAUUAAACCAACAAAGUUCAGAAGGUAAAUUCUGAGGUAUCUGGUAAAAGAUAAACAGGAGAAGAGUUUUGGUGUACAUGCAUGUGUUGAGGGGACUUACUUAGCACAAGGAGGAAGCGCAUCGUACUCUUGCAUCUCGGCCUGAGCUGUUUUUUCUCGGGAUAAGGAGAAGUCACGGCGAAGAAGAGAUAGAAGUUAGUAUAACUUCGUGUUUCUAAUUCUAAGAUCUGAAGAGAAGUUCAGAGGUCACUUACUUAGAGGAGAACUGAAGUCGAUUGGAGCUGGAGGCGGCGGUAAGGUCAGCGACGGUGAGGUCGGAGGAACCAAGGUCGUGAGCAGGAUCGAUUCAGGAGGUGUUUGCGGUGGAGUAGCUGGAGGAGUCAAAGGAGGUGACUCCAUAACCUAAGUCGCUGUUGAGUCGGCUAGGGUUGGUGAAGAGACAAGACAACGACAAAGGUGGAGAUUUGUGGAGUAGUUGUCGUUUUGGUGUCUAAGUCGUUUCUUAAUGGGCUUGCGACAUCAGGUGGGCUUCUACGUUUUACAAGUCUCGACUAAAAACAAGAGGAGCUGGGCCUUACGGGAAAAUUGGCCCGAGCUCAAGGUUGUUAAAAACAAUCAUCGUUGACCAAGUCUUCGUCUUCUACAAUUGGAAUAACAGAACAGAGAGAGAGCAAAUUCUACAGAGUUCUAGAGAGAGAAAGUUUUCUUCUCGGUGAUCGGAGUUACAGCGAUCGGGUUGGUCGAUCUCGGAGGUCUCUGCGUCGGUUCUUUUCCAAGAGUUUUCCCUGCAAAUAGCUGUAGAAAGAUUCAGCAAAAGGUUCACUUGUAUAUCUGUUCUAAACGUUGAUAUAGUGAACGCAUGGUAGUUUAGUUCUACCCCCAGACGUACCGCGAGGGAACUGGGUUAACAAGUUUGCCUGUGUCAUUAGUCUAGAUUCUUCUUUCCGCAAGAACACCUUAAUUGAAUCUAGCUCAAUCGAAUUGAUCAAGCUUUUGGGACUAAGAAAUUGAUUCUAGUGUUAGUCGGAUUUCUUAACAGCCUAAUAUAUGCUUCAAACCCAACUCGGUAGAGAUCGUUUUGUCUAGAACUUGUAGAUACUCCAAGGGCUGCAGCUCCGUCAACAAGCUAACAUCUCCAUGAACUUUAGAAUCUUCUAGUUUCAAAAUUCUUAAACUCGACAGCUUUGAUAUCCCACUGAUAAUAUGAUUUAACUUCAGAUAAAUUAGCUUUUUCAUAUCUUGGAAACCAAGUGCCAGUUGCUCUAUACUUGUGUUCCACAAGUUAAGAUACUGCAACGAAGCCAGCUUCGAUAUCUGCUCAGGAAAUUCUUUGAAAUCGAAAUUAUCUGAUAGAUCCAAAACAACUAGCUUUUGCAUAGAGCCGAUGAAUUCACCUAGAAAUUUCUUCAAACUAUUAUUCUGGAGGAGCAGAGUUGUAAAGUGUUCUGAAGAGUUGUAAGUUCAGAACACUUGGAACCGCAUGUUAUCUCUUCAAUAUUAUUUUUCAGAAAUCCUUCUCAUAUCUCCCCAAUCCUUAAAUUUUGGCAUUUCGCAUCAUCUGACUCCUGCUUGUAUUAAGAGAUAUUAGAAGAUAUUAGGCUUAUUGGACGUUGUAUAGAUAAUUAUUAGAAUUAUUAGAGUAAUUUGUUGAUCUCCAACAGGUUUUGACUCAAAAACGUUUUGACACAACUGACUCUUAAGAAAAACAAACACAAUGUCAGCAACUACCUCCCCCAGACUUGAAUAACACUGUCCCCAGUGUUAUCUAGUCCGAAGGUGGCGAAACAAAAUAAAAGAAACAGAGAAACGCAGGAAAAACAGAGAACUUACCUGGCUGCAAUGAUGGUGUCGCGCGACACUGAUGAUGGUGUCGUGCGACACUUGUUUUCCUCGUACCGAAUUGCAGCAGACCAAUCCGAAUUUCUGGUUUGACUCCGGUUGCCUGAUUUCCUAAAUUUCUUUUUUUUUUUUUAAAUAGAAGCAAGUGACAAGCGACACCGAAGGUGGUGUCGCUCGACACUAACAUCUGCUUCACCUGAGACACGAAAAGAAAAACGAAAAUCAACUGAAACAAAAAGACUUAUGCACAGACUCACCAGUGGAUUGCCUUCCACCAAGCGCUUGUUUAAAGUCAUUAGCUUGACUAUGGAUAGACUAUGCAUCUGGUGGAUCAGACAGUGGCAAAGAGUGCCUCUGUGAAAUUCGUCUCAUCCAUGGUGGUGUGUAAGCGUUGUGCGCAUGAGGUCGUCCAAGGAAUGCAGGAAUAGCACCAGGGUGAGAUCUGUGUUUGGGUGGCCUUGACCUAUUCCCUGCAAUAUCAUCAAACGAAAAACCAAGUGCUCUACGAUAAUCUCGUAGCUUGCGUUGUGAGACAGAGCCUGCAUCCUUUGAAUCAGUUCCAAUGAUAUCACGAGAAUUAGGCUUAGGCUCAAGAGGUGCGUAUCUUUGCUUUGGUGGAGAUGGAUGGAGUGCAAUGUUUGGAGCUUCCUGAUCAACAGCAGUCACUGGUUCUGUGGACGUUUUCGUCAACUCAGAUUGAUCUCUCACCAUCUCAGCAUCAAACACGUUCUGAUCUCCAACUAUCACCUCAGGUAUUGCAGUGACUUGGAAUGUCUGACCAUCUAUGGUGGGAUCCUUCAGAUCUUCCCAGGAUAAGAGGAUCUUUGGGUUCCUCUCCAUAUUGCAGAACCACGAAAUCUGUAGGAAUUAUGCAAUCACCAACUUUGAUUGGAACAUCUUCCAAGACACCUUUUGGGAUUCUUUUAGACCGAUCUGCUAGGAUCAAAGAGAUCUUAGUUGGCUUGAAGUCAGUCAUCCCAAGGCUAACAGCUACAGAGUGUGGCAUGAGGUUGACACUCGAACCAAGAUCACACAGCGAUCUCUUGAACCUCUCUGAGAAGAUAGAGCAGUCCAAAACAAAACUUCCUGGGUCCGAGAGCUUUUCUGGAAUCUUAUUAUGAAUCACAGAACUGACAUGUUUAGAGAUCAUCAUCGCUCCUUCCUCAUGACCCACAUUAUUAGUCACCAUCUUCUUCACAUAGUGUCUGAGAGUAGGAGCAAUCUUCACAGCAUCAACCAAAGGAAUCUCAAUCACAAGCUUCUCCAUCAAAAACUUGCAUCUGGCAUCAUCUAGCUCCUGCUUGGACUUCCUAGGACUCCUUGGGUAAGGAACCUUAGGUUUGUAAACCUUUUCCUCAGCAGAUUUCGGACUUUGAGCAAUAUUAGCUUUGCUCUGCAAUUGGUGACGCGCGACACUGGUUGUGGUGUCGCUCGACACUGGCUCUGCAGUUUCGAAAUUUUUUUCAGAUUCGUCAAACUCCACGAUUUCAUCCUCAAAAACACCCUUUUUCAGCACAGGAGUCAACUUUUUACCACUCCUUGACGAGAUGGCACUGCAGUAAUGCCUAGGAUUGGUAUCAGUCUUCCCAGGAAGGAAUCUUUCUUGCCUUUUUACAGACUCUGCAGUCUGAGCAACCUGAGUAUCAAGCUUCUUGACAUGAGUGUUCAGAACUUCAAUUUUUCCAUUCAGAUCCAGAUAUAGAGCAUCAAUCUUCCCAUUGAAAUCCACAGUCAUCUUCUGCUGACCUUCCAAAAUCUGUUCCAGCAUAGACUUCACCUCAUUAUCUGGAGUUUGAGUAGGAAGAGAACCAUAGUUCCUUGAAAACCUGUUGUUGGAGUAGGAUGUCUGGUACUGAGGUUUGGAGCUGUAACCAGAAGAGUUCUGAUUACCUGUGAAGGUACUCCUCUGAUUAUUUCCAUUGUAAUUCGUGUUCCCUUGCCCAGAACCAAAUCUCUGACCCUGAAAUCCAGCUCCAUUGAUGAAGUUAACAUCCUCUUCCUCAAAAGCUUCAUCUGGUCCGAAAUUCUGAACUCCUGCAGGGUAUCUGACAGAUUUCUUACCCACAAGAAGACUAUGCACAGAGUCAAGCUUAGCCUUCACCUCAGCAAUUUGCGAUCCAUCCAGGUUCCCAGCCUGCUUCCUUCGCCGAUAGUCUGCAUUCUUGGUACUAUUGCUAGAUGCCAAGUUUUCGAUGAGCUCAACAGCUUCGUCUGGGUAUCUGGUGUUGAAGUUUCCAUUGCUCGCUGCAUCAAGAGCCAUCUGAUACCUCCAGUCGAUACCUCUAAAGAAAAUACCCAGCAACUGCACAUCGCUGAAGCCAUGAUGGGGACAGUCUCGCUGGUACGAUUUGAAUCGCACCCAGGAAGCUUUGAACGCUUCAGUUGGUUCCUGAGAGAAUGUCGAAAUUUUCGUCCUCAACUCCUCAGACCUAGCAUCAUCGAAGAAGUUGUGCAGGAAAGCAUUCCUGGUCUCUUCCCAAGUAGUGAGUGAUCCUGGCUCCAACUGCUUCAACCAGUUAGCUGCCUCUCCAGCAAGAGAGUAAGGAAACAGCUUGCAGAGGAGGAAAUCAUUGGACACUCCAUUGUAUUUGAUGCUGGUGACCAAGUCCUCAAACCUCUCGAUGUGAUCCAUAGGGUGCUCAUGAGAAAGACCAUGGAAAGGAUGCUGACCCACGAGAGUGUAAUACACAGGCUUGAGCUCAAAAUCAUUCCUCUGAAACGCAGGAGCGCGAAUCGCAGACCGAUUUGCAUAGAAUUGCUCAGGCCUGUUGUAGUCACCCAGCGUCCUGAUGAUGUUACCCUGUCCAUCAAGUCGCUGGCCUCUCUCAUUGCACACAUGACCCUCUCGGUCUCUCCAGAUUCUAUCAUCAUCACGAACAAGUCCAAUGGCGUUUUCCAUCAUUGCCGGAUCUCUUGCUUUCCUGUUCGUUCGCUCUAACUCAGCUAGCUCCUCGUUGCUCAAAUUAACUAGCGGGAUGUCCUUGUUGCUCCUGGUUCCACGAGUAUGCAUAAACCUGAAACACCAAAAACAAAGAGAGAAAACGAGAUAAGUAAACUAGGUUAUAAAAAGAAGGGUGUCGCGCGACACUAGGUCGAAAAACUUAGUCGAAACUCAAAAACUAGGUUCAAUGGCGAAAUCAAGUCCCCGGCAACGGCGCCAAAACUUGAUCUGCUCAAAGUUUAAUCCCUAGAGCUACUCUGCAAGAGCACAGAUGUGCAAUUGUAGUAUAAUAGGGGUCGAACCACAGAGACGAGAGAUCACUCAAUAAACCUUAUAGAGAUUGAAUUACGCUAAGCAGAAAUAUUGUAAAUAAAUAGCAAUGCAACAGAAUUAGACUAAGCAGCAAUAAAAACGGUUUGUAAGAUUCAGAUGGAUGGAGAUUAGGCUUAGGGCGUUUCUCAGGAAAUCAAUGCAUGCAGAACAAUCGAUAAAUUAGGGUUCAGGUUUAAGCACGGUUCUUGAACUCGAAUCACAGAAUUAUAAUUAACCAACUUCCGUUGUGAGAAUUAUCUAAGUUAAAAUCCUAGAAUUCCAAAUUCCUUUGCAAACCCUAAAGAUUUAAACCAGCUUUAAUGCUCAAGUUCGAUAUGUUCACAAAGUAUCUAAACCAAAUUCCUUUGCGAAUAGCUACUUUGCUCACCCUAGGUUCUUUCCAGUUAUUCAAUUACACUUCCGUGUCAAUUAAGCAACCUAAGAUCUAAGUGCUAGGUGGCCAAUCCAGAAUUAGCUUUAAGAACAACCUAUGGUGAAGAACUAAAUAGAUUAUGAACCCUAACUAACCAAUCAAUCUAACAUCCAAUGAAAUCCUUUAUGAGAACCCUAAACCUAACAAGCAAACUACUCAGACAUGGAGAUUGAAGCAAUAAGCAUCAAUGAAUAGAUUGCAGAAAACAGUAAAUAGAUUAAUAAACAGGGGUUCGAAAUCUUCUCUCUCCGGAACAGAGUUUCAGACUUGUCUCCCCAAAAACUCUCAAAAACAAAAACUCUCUCUAAGAAAAUCUAAGGUAAUCGUAAAAAGGGAAUAAAAGCCCUAUAUAUAUCUCUAAGACACGUUUUGGGCUUCCUUGAAAACGUUUGGGCCCAACUCCUUCUUCAAAUAGGAAACAAAAUCACGUUUUCCUUAUUUCUGCAACAAGUGUCGCGCGUCACUCUCCAUGGUGUCGAGCGUCACUAAAGCACAAAAUCCAUACUUGACGAAUUUGAUCCUGAUUAAGCUCCAAAGUGCUCCAAAGUCUCCAGUUAAGCUCCAAACGUACCUAUGACCUGAAAAGACUCCAAAAGACUCGAAAGACACUAAAAAGACUCUAUAAAUAAGACUUAUACCAUGGUUAAAAACCAUAAAAACCAUGAUAUAUCAUUUGUCUCACAUUGCUAGUUUUUAACUCAAGGUUGACUAAUGUACGUAUUUUUAGGCAGAUGAAUAAAUCACUUCCGCAAAUUACUUUGACAUGGUAUCAGAGCCUAAGACUACAUAAAAUUUUGGUCUAGCUCUUGAAUCAGAGCCUAAGGCUACAUAAAGUUUUGGUCUAGCUCUUGAUUCAAAUUCUUGUUUAUAAGUUGUGGUUUAUUGGAAAAGCAAACCGACGAGGUCUUGCUCUUUUAUUUUUGGUGAACUCGGACCAACGAGGUUCGGGAUUUCUGUAAAGCCAUAAGGGCUUGGAAUUUUUUUAUUCGGUGGAGAAACCUUGGGAAUUUCUCUGUUUUUUAGAAAAUAUGAGAUUUCAGAGUUGAGGAAUUAAGUGUUCUUAUUGUUCGAAGUAUGGUCAUGAUAUGAGAUCAUGUUAUCAGGUAUAUGGAUAUCCAGAUUGGUAGCUGGAGAAGUAUGAAAAACCUACGAAACAUGUGUCACACUCUGAAAAACGUGUGUCACACACGGAGGCGUUACAGGUUGAUCCACAAGCUAUGACAGGGCUCAAGAAAGAUCAAUGGCAUAAGCUUGUUCGAUUCGAGAUUAGAGAUAGCAAAUUGUGUGAGUGAUAACACCUAUACAGAUAAGUGGAUUAUUGAUAGUGGUGCGUCGCACCAUAUGAUGGGUACGUUAAUUGGUAUGUUUGAUGUGCAUAAAGUCUCACCAUGUUUAGUGGGUCUGCCUAAUGGAAAUGUUAUGGUUGCUGUUAGAAAAGGAAGUGUGGCAUUGACGGAGAACUUAACUUUGACACAUGUGCUUUUUGUCAAGUAACUCAAGUACAAUCUCAUCUCUGUGUCACAGAUUAUUGAUCCAAUGAAUUGCAUUGUGUUGUUCUCCAAGCAAAUGUUUCGGAUACAGGAUCUUGCUUUGCAAAUUCUGAUUGCAGUGGGUGAAAGAAAAGAUGGAUUGUAUUUUCUUCAAGGUAUUCAGAAGACCGUGAAUGUGGCGAAGGUCAGUAAGUUGGGAUCUUUGGAACUUUGGCAUAAAAAGAUGGAACAUGCUUCUGAAAAGGUUAUUAGGAGAUUGCCAGAAGUGGAUCAAAAGAGUGUUAGUGUUUCCGAUUGCGAUGUCUGUUUCCGAGCAAAGCAGUGUCAGGAUGUAUUUCCUGUGAGUACAGAGAAAAGCAAAGAAUGCCUUGAGAUGAUUCAUUGUGAUUUGUGGGGGCCAUAUCGAACACAGAGCGUGUGUGGAUCCUUAUAUUUUUUAACUAUCGUGGAUGAUUAUUCUAGAACUGUGUGUGUUUUUCUUCUUGCUGAUAAAACACAAGUUCAUAAAACAAUGGUAAAUUUCUUUGCUCUCAUUCAGCGUCAGUUUGAGAAACAUGUGAAAAUCGUGCGAAGUGAUAAUGGUAGUGAAUUCAUGGGUAUGAAGGAGUAUUUUUGUACAUCAGGGAUAAUUCAUCAAACUUCGUGUGUAGGAACUCCUCAACAAAAUAGUAGAGUGAAGCGAAAACAUCAACAUAUACUGAAUGACGCACGAACGUUGAGGUUUUAGGCAAAUUUACCAAUAGAACUUUGGAGUUAUUGUGCUUUGAGUGCUGCGUAUCUAAUUAAUCAUACGCCUUCUAUGUUACACAAUGGUAAGAGUCCUUAUGAAAUCAUCUUUGGAAAAGCUCCUGCUUAUAGUGAGAUACGAGUUUUUGGAUGUUUAGCGUAUGCUCAUAAUCAGAAACGUCAUGGAGAUAAAAUUGCGAGUAGAAGCAUAAAAUGUGUAUUUUUGGGAUACCCUUAUGCAAAGAAGGGAUGGAACUUAUUUGACUUGGAGACACGUGAGAUCUUUGUUUCUCGGGAUGUCACUUUUAUUAAGGAACGAUUCCCAUAUUUGGAGCUAACAAAUGCACAGCUGGAUGUGCCUUCUAAUUCUAAUCAAAUGAGGUUAUAUGUGGAUGAUAAUGCUGGAUUUGACGAUAUAGAACCUGCCUUGACAAGGGAAAUUAUAUAACCUCUCACAAGAGAUACAAUGACACAGACUCAGGUUGUGUCAGACAAGGUUGCAGAAGAAAAAAAAUAGACUAUAGGAAACGAAAUACGUGAUAUCUUAGGAAUUACAGCGCCAAAAAUUGAACCUGCAUCGGUUACACAGUCUGAGAUUGUGCAGCCUGCUUUAGUGACAGAACCUGCAUUGGUUACACAGUUUGAGAAUGUGCAGUCUGCUUUAGUAACAGAACCUGCAUCGGUGACACAGGCUGAAACUAUGCAACAGCCUGCAUCAACAGAAACUUUGGGGCGAGGAAUGAGAAAGAAAGAAUCUUCUGUCAAGUUACGCGACUAUGUGUGCAAUACGACAUUUACAAUGAAUAUUUCCACUGUGAGUCAGGAGUUGAGUAAUGAUUAUGGUAUUGAGAAUUAUGUAAAUUGUGAAAGGUUCUCUGUGUCACACAAGGCAUUUCUGUGUAGUAUAACUGAAGGAGUUGUGCCGAAAAGUUUUGCUGAGGCCAUGAAGGAUCUGCGAGAUCUGCGAUGGAGAGAAGCUAUGAGACUCGAAAUUGAGGCCCAAGAACGAAAUCAAACAUGGUUGAUUGAACAAGUACCACCAGGUAAGCAUGUGAUUGAGUGUAAAUGGGUUUAUACAAUUAAGUAUAAUGCGGAUGGCUUGAUUGAAAGGUAUAAGGCGAGACUCGUGGCAUGUGGCAAUCGUUAAAAAGAAGGGAUUGAUUAUUCUGAUACAUUUGCUCCUGUAGCAAAGAUGAGCACAGUUCGAUUGGUUCUUCAAGUUGCCGCUGGGAAAAGUUGGGAGCUACAUCAGAUGGAUGUGUAAAAUGCGUUUCUUCAUGGAGAUUUGGAUGAAGAGGUUUUUAUGAGGGUACCUCAGAGUUUUGGUGCUUCUAAGAAGGGUAUGGUAUGUCGUUUGCGCAAGUCGUUGUAUGGUUUGAAACAAGCUCCGCGAUGUUGGUUCGUGAAACUUUCGAAGACAGUUUUAGGGUACGGUUUUACACAGAGUAAGGCUGAUUACUCUCUUUUCUCAUUAGUUUGUGAUAAAGUUCACUUGCACGUUCUAGUGUAUGUGGAUGAUCUUGUGGUGACAGGAAACUCUCUUGAGGUGAUACAAAAGUUUAAAACGUAUUUAAGCAAUUGCUUUCAUAUGAAGGAUUUGGGAAAAUUGAAAUAUUUUCUUGGAUUGGAAGUUGCAAGAAAUGCAGAGGGUAUAUACUUAUCACAGAGAAAGUAUGCUCUGGAUAUUAUUGCUGAUGUCGGUUUGCUUGGUGGUAGGCCUGUAGAGUUUCCGAUGGAGCAAAAUCAUCAGUUGGGAAGGUCGACGACAAAUAUUUUGAUUGAUCCAAAGAAAUAUUGGAUACUGGUUGGAAGGUUGAUUUACUUGGCUGCGACUAGACCAGAUCUUGCCUAUUCAGUUCACAUUUUAUCUCAAUUUAUGAAUGAGCCAAGAGAAGAUCAUUGGAUGGCUGCAUUGAGAGUUGUUUGUUACUUGAAAGGGUGCCCGGGAAUGGGGAUUUUGUUGAAAUCUGAUUGUAAUUUUCAUCUUACAGCUUGGUGUGAUUCAGAUUGGGCUGGAUGUCCAAUCACGAGGAGAUCUUUGAGUGGAUAGUUGAUAAAAUUGGGAAAUUCUCCUGUGUCAUAGAAGUCAAAAAAGCAAGAUGUUGUAUCAUGCUCUUCAACUGAAGCAGAGUAUCGAGCUAUGGUUUUGGCAUUGAAGGAGUUGAAGUGGUUAAAGAGUGUGUUGUUAACGAUGGGUAUUGCACAUUCUGGUCCAAUGGAUUUAUAUUAUGACAGUCAGUCUGCGCUUCAUAUUGCAGCUAAUCCUGUGUUUCAUGAGAGAACAAAACAUGUGGAGAUUGAUUGUCAUUUCAUUCGAGACGAUAUACAAGCUGGAAUUGUUCAGACCCAACAUGUUUCUACUACUCAACAGCUGGCGGAUAUCUUCACUAAAGCACUUGGAGGACGUCCGUUCAAAGGAAUUUUGUGCAAGUUAGACAUUCGAGAUCUUCAUGCUCCAACUUGAGGGAGGGUAUUAAGAGAUAUUAGGAGCUAUUAGGCUUAUUGCGCCUUUAUUUAUUAGAAUUAUUAGAGUAAUUUGUCUUACAUUGCUAGUUUCUAAGUCAAGAUUGACUAAUGUACUUGUAUAUAUAUGUGCAUUUAGGCUGAUGAAUAAAUCACUUCGGAAAAUUACUUUGACAUCUUGAACCAAAAAAAGUCUUGGAUGCAGUCCAUAGAGCCAUUUCGCGAACCACGUCAUGCAUCACAACACCUCUUCUACUAUUAGACUCUGUCAGUAAAUUUGAGUGGAUAAGGGUAUCAAGUACCACAUAACCCUUAUUCAUUGCCCUUUUAUAAGAUUUGUGUUCCCCCGAUGAAUCCCUCGCACAUCCAGUACUCUAUCAAUUCUUCUUUACUUAUUUGAAAAUCUUUUGACAAAGCACAAUAGAGGAAAUACGACUUGAUGUUGUUGAAACGUAAUCGUACUGAUUGAGCUCAAGCAACGACAAACUCUCACUCUAUUGAACUCUCUCUCUCUCUCUCUCUGAAGAUUCGCAUGAGUAUAAACGAGAGAAAGACGAAGAACACAGAGCACACGAUUUGAUUACCCAAAGUUCACCUCCUAGAUGAAGGCUACGUCUCUGGGGCCAGAUCUCGAGACGGCAAUUCCACUAACACGAAAAAAUCACAAGUCUCCAAGAACCGAGAGCUCGCGAGAAAGAAGACGAUAAGGUUUGUUACAACUGUGCUAACGGCUAGAUCCUAAUCCUUUUUAUAUACAAGAGGCUUACAACAAAACCGGAUAUUAACCAGAACCAAAUUAUAUCCUCUUAAUUGGACCAAUACUUGAUAACCAACUAAGAUGACUAACCAGUCUAAACCCAAACAUUAAUCUAGCCGUUAUACCAGAAUUGAAACUUAGACCAUAAUUCAACAGAUGUGUUCACCCACCAAGCUAUCAUAGCUGUACUUCAGAAUUAGAAGAAUUUUGUUUUCCAUGUCGGAAAACUCUGCAGCGGAUCUGGUCAAGACAUCGACUGCAAGCUCCCAUUCUUGUACCGUAGUUUGAUAUGACAUUGUCUCACCGAUGGCAAUUAGCGCUAGUGGCAGACCACAACAACUUUCAGCAACCUUUCUUGCGAGCUCGACAAUUUCAGGAUCACUUUUCAAAGUAUUGCCACCGACCAUUUUUUCAAACAAUUCCCAUGCUAUAUGUUUUUCCAGACAGUUGACUUGCAUUGGUUCAUGAUCCCCCAUCCGCUUACACACUUCGAGAGAACGAGUGGUGAAAGCUACUGUGCAUCCAUUGUGGGAAACGGAACACCAAUAGCUUCUAAAUCAACUUUCUCCCAUAUAUGAUCUAGCAUCAGAACAAAUCGCUUCCCUUUUAAAACUCUAGUUAUAUCAGCGGCCUUGUCACCUUCGUUUUUGUUCGUACACUCGCCGUCGCAAAGGUGUAGCUUUUGUGCAAUAUCUUCUUGAAGCUUUGAAAUAUUUGUGCCUUGAGAUACCACGACCCAGAUGAUAACUUGACACCCACCAGCCAUUUCACCGAACUUAUUGUGAAUUUUUUUUGAAAAGUGUAGUUUUUUCAACACCACCCAUACUGUGCAGGCCCAUGAUUCCGACUCCAUCUUUCAUAAGACGAUUCCAUGCCACUUCAAGCAUUAUUUCUAGGCCAAUCGUAGGCCCUGAAGGCCUGACUUCCACUACAGAUCUUGUAAGCGGCUCAGAUACCUCUUUAAAAUCACCUUCCAAUUUGAGAAUCUUAACUUCAUCCAACAACAAGAAUACAUUUUUCCCAAAUAGCUUGAGAAUACACUUUUUGAGCAUAAACCGCAGAGACACAACUUUGGAAGCUGAAUAGUACUAGUACUGAGCAGUUCAGUUACUCGUGUAUGGAUGCUCUCGACACAGUUACAAUAUAGAAGAAUCUAGAAGAUUCUAGAUAUUAUUGUUAAUAUUGUGUAUAUUAUUAUUUAGAUAUUAUAGAGAUUUGUAUCUAUCUUCUUUAGAAAAGAUCUAUGGUAUAAAUAUGUAUCUACUCUAUUCAUUAUAAUUAUGAGAGUCAAUAUACAUUACAAUUCUUCCAAUUCUAAACUCUCAUCACUCUAGUAGGUCAAGCCUUUUUCGAUGUUGUGUCUCCUCUAAUGCAACUCUGUUUUUCACCUGUUGUUGAAAUGCUUUGAGAUCUUCCAUUUCCCUCUGAAAAGUUCUUCUUGAGGUUUAGGAUAUAACCUUUACCAAGUAAGCAUCUAAAGAUACCAUUUACUGCUCCAUCACAAGAAAAAUUUGACACCCAAUUCUUAAUAGAUUAUAUGGUUACUGGUUUGUAGAUUUGUACAUUCUUAAUCGAUUCCACUAUUAUUCGUAAAUAGAUUAUAACAUUCUUUAAAAAUCCAUUGUUAUUGGUUUGAUGAUUUUUAUAAUCUAAUCAAAAUUCAUUGUUCUUCAAAAAGUUUAUAUUUUAAUGAUUUUAUAAUUAUAUUAAAAGCUAGUGUUAUUGGGAUAAAAAUUCUUUACAAUUCAACUCAUAAAUCAAGAUUUUUAAAAUACUAUCUAUAUCUAUUGAAUUCUUAAAAUCUGUCAUAGUAAAAUUAUUUUGUAAAUUGUUUUAAAUCCACAACACUCUCUUCAAAUUUUACAAAUCUAACAAAACUCUUGAAGAUUUGACUAAUCUUAUUACUUUUUAAAUCAACCAAAAUCUGUCAUAUGAUUUAAGGUGAUCCAGCUCUAUCUAUGCGCCACGUCAGCCUUUGUAAGGAGGACACAUCUCCCAUCUUUUAAUGCUUUUAUUUCAUCUUCUUCCCCCUCUAUUUUAUCUCAUAUUCCUUGUCUCACAGUGGCUCAAUCUCUCUUUUAUUUGUUUGCCAAUUUUGGGGAUUUGAAGACGGAAUAAAGAUUAAACUUUUUCUCAUAUUGUGUUCUAUGCAAUAUUCAAAUUAAGAUGAGAUGUGGAAAAAUCGUUAUAAAGAGGUUCUAGAAUGUGAAUAGCAGGCAAGUUACCUUCUCUAAGAGGCAUGAUGGGUUGUUUAAGAAGGCUCAUGAGUUAUUUGUUCUUCGCGACACUUUUAUCUCCGUCUUUUUACUCAUAUUAUGUUUAUGAUUUCUAGAAUAGUAGAAUAAUUUUCUUACUUACCCUACUUUCAAUCCUUAAAAAAAGUUAUUUGUUUGAUAAAGAUUUUAAUAAAAAAAAAACAAAUACCAAACAAUCAAGCAAAUUACCAUAUUUUUAUAAUUAACUACAUAUAUAUAUAUAUAUAUAUAUAUAUCAACACAAAUUAUUUUUAAAAAUAUUAUGUAAAACAAAACUCGCGCGUAUGCGCAGGUACAAGCCUAGCCUUUAUAAAUCCAAAUUCCAAUAACCUCUCUUAGCAUAAAUAAUAGAAAUGAUAAAACUAAAUAAAAUAAAUAAUUAACUUUAGAGUCGAUUACAACAUUCUCGAUUGUUAGACCAACAACAACUUCAUUUUGUUUUUUUUUUUGCAAAGUCUUAUAAUAUUCACCUUUUUUUUUAAAUAUUCUCCAAAAAAAUUUUAAUCAGAGAUUGAGUUGGAAAAAAAUAAAUUUUGGAAACAAAGAUUAUAAUUAGUUCAAAAAUGCUACCUUUUAAAAAAUGAUGAGUAAAAUAGAAGACAUUUCUUCUUAUAUAGAGGCUAAUCGUAGGGAUUCCAAUUAUGUUAUAUAGAUUUUCAAAAAUUUUGAUUUUUUAAAAAAUAAUCAGUAAUAAACAGAAAAAAUAUAAAAUAUGUUUGAUAACUAUAUUAGGUAACAACCAAAUUUCAUCUGCAUUAUAUUUGAAAAACUUAUAACUGAUAUUUUUGCAAGAUAGAUUUUUGUUUUUGUCUUGAAUAUUUUUUUUUAAAUGGUUAAACUACAAUGAUUUUUCCAAAAGUAUAAAAAAUCAGAAAAUAAUCGAUAAAAAUAUUGAAUGCAUAGUUUUAGUUAAAUAUUUUUCAAUUAUAAGCAAAUAGUUUUCGUCUCAUGCGCCGCGUGAACCGUGAAGUAUCUAUAAAAUAUUACUAAACAUGAUUUAAUUGAUUUAAAAUAUAAAUAAUUUAAUUGAUUUUAUAUGUAUGUUAAUAAUAUUAUGAUGAGUAAUGAUAUGAUUUUGUAUUAGUAUUACAAUUACAAAUAUAUAAUAGAACUAUAAGAUUUUAUUAUUGAUUUUCAUAUUGCUUUUGUUUUUCUUUUUUUUGUCGACUGCUUUUGUUUUAAAUAUGAAUGUAAUUAUAUAGUUAAUAGUUUAACUGAAAAAUCGAUAUAUUUUAUUGAAUAAAAAUUUUAGUAAUUUAUUUUGUUUUGUUUUUUCAAAUUCAAAUUAUCGCAUAUGCAUAAAAAUAUUAAAUUUUUAUAUGUUUGAUGUGAUAAUUAAUUCAGAAAAAAGUAAACAAAGAAAUAAAAAAAUAUAUAAUGAUUUAAAAAUAAUUCUUAUUAUAUAAUUGAAUAAGGAUUGAAUAUAAGAAAAUAAUUAAUAUGAUAUAAUUAAAUUUCAGAUAUUUUUGAUUCUAUUUGAUUGGCUAAUACAUAUGCUUUGAAAUUAUUUACUAGUUUUUGUGUGUCUAAUCAAAGAAAGAAAGAUUUUUUAAAAAAUUACUUUUAAUGAUUAGUUUAAUAAGAUAUAUUUGAUUUUUUAAUCAAAUUAAUAUGAAUGGAAUUAAUUAUAAUUAUUCUAGUAAUAUAAGUCUUUUUUUUCCAAAAAAAAUUGAGAGCAUAGCAAAAUUGUUAAUAUUACAUAUGACAAAUGUUAUUUUUAAAGUGUUUUUCUCAAAUAAUAAUAUAAAAGAUUUCAAAUUUCCACCGACAAUCAUUGACUUUGGAUUAUGAAAAUUUGUGAAAAACAAAUUACAACUCUUCAUUAACUUUACAUGUAUCCCAUUAAUUUAAACUGGUUAUACAAAUACUGUUGGCAUUCAAAUCCCUGCUCAAUGAAAAUAAACCCGUUGAUCAAAGAGUUAAAAAACAAAACAAAAAAGUGAAAAGCGAAGGAAAAGCUAGAUAACGAGCUAAAACAAGGGAACAAGACGUCAAGACCCCUACAUAUACAAAAGCAAACCCCUACGAGAACAACAAAACAAAACAGUACACUUGCAGAGAGAUAAGAAUGCAAAGGAUACAAAAGCAUAAAACAAUUUGAAUUGGUUUUAGUUUGACAAGGAAGCAACCCGUCUUAAGUUAUACAAUAGGAGAAUGAAAUACCUAAUCCAAGUGGCGUCACAACACACUUGCAGAGAGAUAAGAAUGCAAAGGAAAAACAAUAAUAGGAUAAUACAAUCCAUAUGAACAACACAUCACACAUCAAACAAUAAUACUCUGAAGAUCCCCUUUUACAUACGCAAAAACAUAAAACUAUUUGAUUUGCUUUAGUUUGAGAAGGACGCAAUCCGUCUUAAGUUGAUACAAUAGGAAAAUGAAAAACAUAAUCCAAGUGAACAACACAAAACACUGCAGAAGGAUACGAAUCAGUAAUGAUAUCCAAAAUGAACACAUCACACUACAAGAUCAAAGACAGAAGACGAAGAUGCGUAGAUUCUGUUCUUAGUGCCGAAUCCUUAUGCAUAGUGAAGGAUGUUUAGUAGACCUAAAGCAACAAACGAUGAAAAAAAAGAAACAAAAGUUAGUGAGUGACACUUGCGGGGCUCAUUGAAAUUGAGAGGCACAAGCAUAUUGAGUAUAUAUAAAUCUUAAGAAUCUGAACUACUUUUAGUCGUUUUCUUUUAAUAUUUCUAACCUCCCAUUUAUUUCUUGCUGAACAAGAAACCCAGAUGUGGAAGGAAAAGAAGAAGAAAUUGUUUGUGAUUUGAUCCUUUGAAGAGAUCAAUACACAUAUGUUUUUACAUUUUGAAAUAAUGAAACUAAUCCACCGAACACAUGCAUGACUUUUCUAAUAUUUUUUUUUUAUCAUGUUGUCCAAUUUGUGUUUGUCGGGUAUAUCAUGAUGCAAAUGGAGAGUAUCAGUCUAAUAAGGGUGAAUACUUCAAGCUAACCUAUAGCAAACAUGAAAAAAACUCAGAGAUGAAAAAAAUAAAAACCAAAGCGGAAGGGUAUUAAGAGAACUGAUUACCAGAUGGAUUAAAGGCAAUAAACGGUUUUUGGUAUCUUCGUCCUCCCAUUCAAGCUCAGUUAUCUCUUGUCCAUGACCCAUAUCUAUUGUAAACCGGGCAAGUCGUGGGACACUUGUAGCAUCAAAGGGAAGCUUUCUCAGAUUUGGACACUCUAGUACGCUUGUGUGCCACAAUGAUGGAAAGGGGAGAGGACUCCAAUAGAUACUCUCCAGCUUAGGCAAACUUGUCAGCGAUAAGAAUUCAAGUUUCUGAAAUGGUGUAAUACCUGUAAGAUUGUUUGCUUUCUCUUUGUUUAUUAUUUCUUCCACUUCGUUUGAAUAUUCAAUUUGUAGGUAGACAAGAUUUGGAGCAAACAAUAGCCAAGUCAUAUCCUUAAAGCCAAUACAGCCAUAGAUAUGCACAAACAAGAGGUUUGUAAAGCAUGGACUUGUCGGAUUGUCUAGAUCUGACAAGUCCGUCCCGCCUUCUCUGCAUUUUGUAUUAAUCUCCGAGAUAUGACUAUUUUCCAGCCAGAGCAUACGAAGAUUCUUCAUACUCACCAGCAAUGACAUAUUCAAUGGCUUUUUAUAAAAAGAUUGAAUACACAGACCAUUGAUGCAGUUCGCCAACUUUUGAUCCCCUAAUAUUUGCUCCAAACCCAAUUCCGUAGAUAUCGUUAUGGUUAGAACUUGUAGAUGCUCCAAGAUCUGUAGCUCCUUCACUGAGCUAACAUCUCCAUGAACAUUGGACUUUAGUAGUUUCAAAAUUCUUAAACUCGAAACCUUUGAUAUCUCACUGAUACUCCGAAGUCUGUGUGUAGAAGUCAAAUUUAGCUGGAUUAGCUUUUUCAACUCUUGGAAACCAACAGGCAGUUGCUCUAUACUUGUAUUCGACAAGUCAAGAUACUGUAAGGAGGUCAGCUCUGAUAUCUGCUCUGGAAGUUAAUUGAAGUUAUUAUUACCGGAUAAAUCCAAAACAAGUAGUUUUUGCAUAGAAAGGAUGAAUUCACUUGAGAGACUCUUCAAUUUAUUAUCCUGGAAAAACAUAGUUGUAAGUUCAGAACACUUGGAACAGCAACUAAUCUCUUCUAUCGCAUUACACAUUAAUGAUAAAAUUCUCACAGGUCUCCAAUCUUCAACUUUUGGUGUCUCACGUAAUCCGACUCGCGCUUGCACAACACAAAUUUCUUUCGGUUUUCCAAAGUCAGAUGCAAUCCAUAGAGCCAUUUCGCGGACUAUGUCAAUGAUGAUAGACUUAUUCGUAGAUUUUCAUUAAUGGUAGAUUUAUUUUCCUAGUAGUGGUAGAUUUAUUGUCAAAUGAUGAAAGAUUUAUUUUUGUAUAGGUUUAGUAUACAGUAGAUUUAUUUUUGAUAUAAUGAUAGAUUUAUUUUGGAUUUUAUGUAUUUAUCUUCUUCUCUAGUAGGUUAUUGACGACGAAUGGUGGAUCAAAAGAUAAAUAAUAUGAUGGAAGUGGAGUGAGUUACUAGCACGGAAAUGGAGAUUUGUUUAUCAAAAAAAAUAUUUGUAGAUUUGUUUGCUUGAAUAGUGGUAUUUGUUUAUUUAAUGGUAAAUUUAGUUUAGGAUUUGAUAGAUUUAUUCGAAAUGGUAGUAAAUUUCUUUUUAAAUAAUAAUUUAAUAAUUGCUUAGUAGUAUAAUCAAAAUGAAUGAGAUAUAAACUAAAAACAUAUGAUACAACCCAAUAAUAUAAAACAAAUUAAAAUACAUAUUCAUUUUAUAUACCAAAAAAGAAAAUAAACAAACACAAAUAAAUAAAAAACCAUUUGUCAUUUCUAACACAAUCAAGCAUUGUCUAGCAAAUAACCAAAUAUCAUAAAUGGUUCAAUGUAGAUUAAAGUAAUAAUACAACUUUUCAUUUGUUAUUGACAUUUUAGUACUUCAAAAAAUUCAUAUAUCAAACUAAAUCAGUCCUUAUAAUUAAAUGCAUUUUUCAAUUAAUUUUAAACCCACUUUUCCUCUAAUAUCCCAUAGGAUAUCACCGAGGAGGUAGGUGGUCUUACUUUGCUAAGCUUCAAAUUGUAUUGUCUUCACUUUUCAGUAUAAGACUAAUAAACAUUUAGUUUACAAUUUUGAAUUUUCUAAAUGGAGUAGGCCGAGAUCAGGUCCAGGCUAUUGAUGCGAACAAAUCUUACAAAUUGCAAACGGCUAUUUGCUUUGUGUUAGCAUUGGUCCAUUGAAUUUUCAAUUUUUUUAAUAACUUAUAUUGAGUCAUAUGGAAAUGGACAACACUCAGCGGUAUCAGUUCUUAUCAGCACCGCUGCUUUGUAUGUAGUCGCCGUCUGCUUUGUAUCGUAAAAGAAAGAAGAUUGAGUUUUGCCAGAAUCUACUCUACAAGAUUGUUGUAGUUUCUGGACACGCAGCUAAUUCAAAUGACGAACCAAUGUUCAAUGUUCAAGACCGGUGGGCAGUGAAUAAUUGAGCGUAUCAAAUUAGGCUUGCGAAUUUGUUUUUUGCUGAAGAUUUGUUCUUGGGCUCUUGUUUUAAUGUUCUUAAUGUGGUGAAGCCAUUAGGAAAGGAAUGUGAAAACUCUUAAAAUUAAGAAGACUCUUUCCAUGUCUUCUUAAGUGAAGUUGUCUCUUAAGCUUAUUGCCCCAAAUCAGAAAGCCACUAGAUAUAGUUUGGGAUUAGAUGGAAGUCAUAGCAUCUUCAGAUUAGGUUUAGGGGGUUUAAAUUAGAGAGUCUGAUAAACAGGAUCUUCAUGAUUCAGCAAAAUCAUAUAACUUUUCAUCUUGAUUCCUCCUGUUAACAACACAUAUACACUUCAAGAUGAAAUAGAAAAAGCUACAGGUAGAGGAAUUUGAUUUUGGAUAGUGAGGAAUCAAAAUACACAGUAAAUUCAGAGGCAUCACAUGCUUUUAUGAUAUCUCCUUUCACGUAAAAGCAUAAAAACUGUUGAUUAUAUAAAUACAUGUAGCUUGAGAAAAAAGCAAUCCGCCUUAACUUAUUACAUAGAAAAUUGAAAAUAGAAAAUCCAAUUGAACAACACAACACACUGCAGAGAGAGAGAGAUAAGAAUGCAUAGAAAAAACAAUAAUACAAUCCAAAUGAACAACACAUCACACUUUGAGGAAGAAAGAGAAAGCAGAAGAAGAAGCGUGGAUUCUGGUUUCUGACUGUGAGGAAUCCCAAUCCAGCUUCUGGUGUGGUUAGUCUAUACUGAAUAUGUUAAGAAGAAAUAAAAUAAACAAAGUUAGUGAAUAUUCAGAAAUUCAUCUAAGACUGCUAGGAAUAUCCAGCAAAUUCUGCCUCACCAUUAAUAUACUAAUUUUAACCAGUUUCUAUUAAAUAUUUUUAUAUAUGCCUUGCUUAACGAAUGUGAAAGGAAAAGAAGAAGAAAGAAAAUACUGUUUGUGAUUUAGUCAUUUGAAGAGCUCAAUGCACGUAUGUAUUUAAACUUUUGAAAUUGACCCCUCGUAAAUAUCCAACAAACACAGGUCUGAUGAUUUUGCAGAUAAUUUUCUAAUUUUGUGACCCAAUUUGUGUUUUGUUGGGUAUCAUGAUGCAAAUGGAUCAUAUCAGACUAAAAUAAAACGAUCACACUUCAUUCUAACCUUGAGCAAACUUGACAGAAACUCAGUAAGAUAAAUUAAUUUAUUCAAGCGGAAGAGAAUAAGAGAAAUGAUUACCCAAAUGACCGAUGGCAGGAAACGUUUUUUUGUAUCUUCAUCCUCCCAUUCAAGCUCAGUUUUCUGUUCUGGAGGAACCAUAGAUAUUUCAAACCCGUCAAGUCGUGGGACACUUGUAGCAUCUAAAGGAAGCUUUCUCAGCUUUGGACAAUUUCCUACAUAUAUGUACCGCAAUGAUGGAAAGGGGAGAGGACUCCAGUAGAUACUCUCCAGCUCAGGCAGAUUUCUCAGGGAUAAGUAUUCUAGUUUCUGAAAUGGUGUAGUACUUGUAAGAUUGGUUGCUUUCUCUUUGUUUAUGAUUUCUUCUACUUCUCCUAAAUGUGAAAUGUCUAGCCAAGUCAGAUUUGGAGCAAAGAGUAGCCAAGUCAGAUCCUUAAUGCUAUCGCAGUUUCUCAUAUUCACGGCGGAGAGGUUGGUAAAGCAUGGACUCGUCUUGCUUCCUCUGCAUUUAAUAUAUGUAUCAAUCGCCGACACAUGACUACCAUCCACCUGGAGCAGACGAAGAUUCUCCAUACUCAACAGCGAUGACAUAUUGAAUGGCUUUUCUUUAAAACCUUGAAUACCCAGACGACUGAUGCAGUUAGCCAACCUUGGAUCGCCUAAUAUAUGCUUCAAACCCAACUCGGUAGAGAUCGUUAUCUCUAGAACUUGUAGAUGCUCCAAGAGCUGCAGCUCCUUCAACAAGCUAACAUCUCCAUGAACUUUAGAAUUUCUUAGUUUCAAAAUUCUUAAACUCGACAGCUUUGAUAUCCCACUGAUACUACGAAGACUGUUUGUAUAAGUCAAAUCCAGAUGAAUUAGCUUUUUCAACUCUUGGAAACCAACUGGCAGUUGCUCUAUACUUGUGUUUGACAAGUUAAGAUACUGCAAGGAGGCCAGCUUCGAUAUCUGCUCAGGAAGUUUUUGGAAAUAGCGAUUAUCUGAUAGAUCCAAAACAACUAGCUUUUGCAUAGAGCCGAUGAAUUUACCUGAGAGAUUCAUCAACUCAUUCUUCUGGAGGAGCAGAGUUGUAAGUUCAGAACACUUGGAACCACAGGUUAUCUUUUUAAGCUCAUUCUUCAUCAAAGACAUCCUUCUCACAGCUCUCCAAUCCUUGACUUUUGGCAUUUCGUGUAAUCCGACUCCUGCUUGAACCAAAAAAGUCUCUUUCUGUUUCCCAAAGUCGGAUGCAAUCCAUAGAGCCAUUUCGCGAACCACGUCAUGCAUCACAAGAUUCACAACACAUCUUAGUUUCAAAAUUCUAUUAGACUGUUCUGUCAGUAAAUUUGCGCGGAUAAGGGUACCAAGUACCUCAUAACCCUUAUUCACUGCCCUUUUAUAAGAUUGGUGUUCCCCAAUGAAUCCCUCACAUAUCCAAUAUUCUAUCAAAUUUUCUUUAUGUAUAGGAAAAUCUUCAGGAAACAGAGCACAAUAGAGGAAACACGACUUGAUAUUUUCACCCACCAAGCUAUCGUAGCUGAACUUCAGAAUCGGAAGAAUUUUGUUUUCCAUGUCGGAAAACUCUGCAGCUGAUCUGGACAAAACAUCGACUGCAAGCUCCCAUUCUUGUACCGUAGUUUGAGAUGACAUUGUCUCACCAAUGACAACAAGCGCUAGUGGCAGACCACAACAUUCUUUAGCGACCUUUUUGGCAAGCUCGACAAUGGCAGGAUCUCUACUUAAUGUAUUGUCUCCUACCUUGCUUUUGAACAAUUCCCAUGCUUCAGUCCAUUCCAAACAGUUGACUUUCAUCGGCUCAUGAUCUCCCAUCCGCCCACAUACUUCCCGAGAACGAGUGGUGAAUGCUACUUUGCAUCCAUUUUCUCUGGUCGGAAACGGAACUCCAAUGGCUUCUAAAUCCACUUUCUCCCAUAUAUCAUCUAACAUCAGAACAAAUCUCUUCCUCUUUAAAACUCUGUGUAUAUCAGCGGCCUUGUCAUCUUCACUUUUGUUCGUUCCGCCAAGGUUUAGCUUUUGUGCAAUAUCUUCUUGAAGCUUUGAAAUAGUCGCACCUUGAGACACCACGACCCAGAUCACAACAUCAAAUCUACCAGCCACUUCAGUGAACUUAUUGUGGAUUUUCUUGAAAAGGGUAGUCUUGCCUACACCUCCCAUACCGUGCAAACCCAUGAUUCCAACUCCAUCUUCCAUAAGGCGAUUCCAUGCCUUUCCCAGCAUUGUUUCCUGACCAAUCGUAGGCCCCGUAGGCCUCUCUUCUACUGCAGAUCUCAAACCCGGCUCAGUAACCUCUUUAGAAUUACCCUCUGAUUUGAGAAUCUGGACCUCUUCCAGCAACAAGAAUACCUUUUUCCCAUAUUUGUAGCUCGAACAUACACUUUUUGAACAUAAACCACAGAGACACAACUUCUUAAGCUCAACAGGACUAGUACUAAGCAGAUCAUUGAACCGUGUAUCGAUGCUCUCGACACGUGUUAGCCAUACCUUGACAGCUUCAAGCCUUUGUUGAUGUUGUGCCUCCUCUCUCGCCACUUUGUUCUUCACCUCAGCUUCAAUUGCCUUGAGAUCAUCCAUUUCCCUCUUCAGAGCCCUGAGAUUCUCCUUGAGGUUUCGAAUAUAACCCUUACCACAUAAGCAUCUGACGAUAUGGUUCAACGUUUGAUCACAGGAAAGUUGGAAAGACACACAAUUCCCCAUGGUGAUAGAAAGAGAGAAAACUUUGAGUAAGCAACAAACGAAAGCUAAAGAUGAAGAAGUGUUUUAUGUGAAAAGCAUUUAACUAAUUCUGAAGAAGGAAGAGAGGAUUAGUUAGAUUUUAGUCUACUAUGCGUUUUAAUUUCCGCCAUUGUUUCGAAGGACGUUUAGUCGUUUACUUUAGAUGCAAUUAUGUUUGAAAAAUUCAAAGGUCAAUUACCAACUCUUAUCAUUAUUAAGAUGCAACUAUGUUUUAAAUUAUACAAAGGUCAAUGAUUUAAUCGCCCAGUUUGGAUUAUUAUGCAACUAUGUUUUAAAAAAACAAAGCUCAAUUAAUGUUUAAUCACUGGGUUUGGAUUAUUAUCAUCACUUGUUGUUAAUUAUUUAAAUCAUUCACUUUCAAAUAUUUGUGAAAAAUCAAUUACUUUAGAAUAUUUUCCAAAUGACAUGGGAACCAAUAACCAUGAUCAAAAACGGUGUGGUGCGAUCGCCCGAAGCCAAAAACAACUUACAAGAAAUCUGGAACAGAGCAGACAAUGGAGAAGUCUAAGGAGCUCGUCAAGGAUAGAAAUCUGGAACAGAGCAGACAAUGGAGAAGUCUAAGGAGCUCGUCAAGGCUGAGAACUCAGAAUGGCCUCCAAAUUUUAUCUGCACCUGAAUUCAGAAUGGCCUAACAAAAAGUGCAGAAUGGCUUAUAAAAAUUGCCCAUACCAAGCAAAAAAAAAAAAAAACAAAGUCAGUCAAUAACAGAUAUCAGUCUCGAAGUUGCUUUUUUGUUUCACCAAAAAAAAAAAAAGAAGAAGUUGCUUCUUUUGUGGGAAAAGCAGAGGUCAUAUAAAGGCUAAUUGUUACAAGUUUCAGAGGAAAGUAAAUCAGUUUUAGAAUCAUCAAGACUAUAUGGAAAAACCAUUGAGAUUCACAGAAGCAAAGAAUUUUAUUUUGGACAUUGAGGAAUAAAAAUCUAAAAUCAAAAUCCAAAGGUACAUUGAAGGAUGUUUAGACCCAAAACGGCUACAAAAGAAAAGAAAAAAAAAAGUUAGUGACACUUGUGGAACGCAUUGAAAUUGAGAGGGACAACAUAUUCUGAAAAUAAAAUUCCUUUUCAACAUGUCUGCAGGGAUUAUCCAACUAGUUCAACCUCACCAUUAAUAUCUUAAGAAGCUGAACUAGGUUUAAACGGUCUUGUUGCGGAUAUCACCAAUAUCAAUUCGUUCAAAUUGAGUUUCCGAUCUGAAUCUUAAGAUGAAAUAGAAACGAGAAAUAAGCAUUAGAAACUACACACAAGAUUUAUCCAGUUUAGGCGCCAACCGCGACCCUACAUCUGGCAGAGACUUCCUCGGAAUUCACUAAGAGAAUGGUUUACAGAGUAGCCGUUACUCUCACUGGAAGAUACCCCGAGAAUCCCUUUCACUCACCGGAAAGAUCUCACAGUUUUCACUCACCAAUUACAAAAAAUGGUAUGUCGAAGAAGAUCUCUCUCUCUCUCUCUCUCUCUCUCUCUUUCUCUCUCUCUCUCUCUCUCUCUCUGCAACUAAUUAAUGACCGACCCGUAGUAACAAACCGAAACAACCCCUGCGCGUAAACACACGCUCUAACGGUCACUCUUCGAUAUCAGCUUCUAGAAGAAGCUCGUAACGAUGACGUCUUGGAGUCUUACCUUAUCCGGUUCACUUAAUCCUGAAAUCAAUAUCCUGACUUCAUUAACCGGAACCUGCUAAUUGAACUAGAUGGUUUAUCAACCAAACCCAUCUGACAGGUUUUUUAACUUUCUCUUUUAACAUUUUUCUCCUCCCAUAUAUUCUUUGCUGAACAAGAAACCCAAAUGCCAAAUGUGAAAGAAAAGAAGAAGAAGAAGAAUUAUUUGUGAUUUGAUCAUUGAAGAACUCAAUACACACAUGUUUUAUAAUUUUGGAAUUAAUGAUACCCCAUACAAAUCCACCAAACACAUGUUUAUUUUCAACGUAAUUUUACAGUUUGUGAUCCAGAUUGUGUUUGUUGAGUAUCAUGAUGCACAUAUGGAUCAUAUCAGUCUGAUAAAACGAUUCAGACCUCAUGCUAACCUUGAGUGAAAGAAACUCAGUAGUAAAAAUAAUUACCCAAACAGAAGAGUUUAAAGGCAUCUCCUAUGUAUAAUUCUAUAUUUUACUCUAUUUAGAUACUCUAUUUUAAAGUAACUUCAAAAUGGAAUUGUGUUAUUGUUGACAAUCUUCCCUUCCUCUUACAUUCACUCUGGUUUGAUUUCUUUCUCUCUUUCUCUCUCCUUCCUUUCUCUCAGUCUCUCUCUCUAGUUCUUGCUCUGUUUCACUCAUUGUUAUUGUUUGCUUGUUCUAUAUUGUUUGCUUGUUCUAAGUGAAAACAAGAAGAAAGUUAGAGAAAACAUUUAAUAGGCUACAUCUUUGAUAUUUGAUCUUUCGAUGCUUUUCUUACACAAACACAACACAUACACUUAUACUACUUGAUACUUGAACUCACUUGGACUCUAGACUUAACCACUUCUUCAAUGCCAUACUUCUAGUACUAGACUAGUUGUACAAGCAACCUUACUUCAAACAUCAUUACCUUUAACAACUCUUAACUAUUCUAACAACUCUUAAAGUAUUCUAACUCUAUACUUAGACACAUACACAAACUCGAUAUUUUGGCUUCUUGGGCUGAUGACAAUUCGCAGGCCCAUUACUCUUAAACAAGAAGCCCAAUCCCUUUCUCCAGAGUUGACUUCUCUUCUUGGUUGACUCUCUUCUUCUUCUCUGAUUCCUUCUUCCACCACACGAGACUUCAUCUUCUUCCUUUCUUCUUCUAAUUGAAGCAACUUUCUUGUUUGCUAGAUUUAAUCAAGGACUCAACCUUCAACAGUUAUCCUCCAAUUUUAUUCCAUGGAGUCAUGACUAAAAUAUUUAGAGUAACUCCAUUUUUAGAGUAACUGUAACAUCCCAAACCCAGCCCAAUUAGAGGAGGCCCAGCAAAUCCAGGCCCACUCCAGAAACCCUAAUAUAAAUAGAGAAUUAGGAGUUAAUGAGCCUCAUUUUGCCUAAUUACCCUAGCCCCCAAAGAAAAGAAAGUGAGAGAGAGAAGGAGAAGCUGCACGCCGUCGCCGAGGACGAGAGCCGCCGCCGCCGCCGGAGAAGGGUGCCGCCGCCGCCGCCGCUUGCCGAGAGAAGAAGGAGCACUCGCCUGCCUCCACCUUCUCAGAAGUUGCUUGAUUCUUUUGCCUCUUCUAGUUCUCCUUAAUCUCAGAUCUGCUUUUAGGCCAAGGUGAGGAUUAGAUCUAGGUCUUUCUUCUUAUCCCUUUAUCUUCUUCUGUUGUGUUGAGUCUAGAUCUGGUGGGACAGGUAUGUCUUCUUGUGCAUCUAGGCAGAUCCAUAUAUAUAUAUANNNNNNNNNNNNNNNNNNNNNNNNNNNNNNNNNNNNNNNNNNNNNNNNNNNNNNNNNNNNNNNNNNNNNNNNNNNNNNNNNNNNNNNNNNNNNNNNNNNNGUAGAAGUCCUAAAGGUCAUAAGUCUGUUUCUGUAUAGUGAUGUUGCCGAAUGCAGGCUUUGUUUGCUGGGUUAUGUUGCCGUCUGUGUGACCGUGGCAAUAAUCCAUUCAUCCGGUGGAGUGAUGACCCACGGGGCUGUCCGUGUGACAGGGUCUCUGUCUGUGUGACAGGGCGUCUGUCUGUGUGACAGGGUGAGAUGUCGACCUGUGUCCGAGUGACAAGGUGGUUUGGCCUAUUGAGAGGCGGGAUCGGAGACAUCACUGCUUGUUAGUUGCUUGUGCACUUGUAGAGUGCUUGUUUGGUUUCAUUAGAUUUAUUCUUAAUAUGUUGGUGGAAAUAAAUGAAUAAGGCGGGAGCCUGGUUUGGUUCUCACUGAGUAAUUCUUCCAAAUUACUCACCCCUCUCUCUCUAAAUUCCGAUGUGCAGGUGAAUGUGAUUGUGAUUGUGAAUGUGAUGAUGUCUGGGAAGAAGUAGACGAGUAAUUCUAGUGUGGUGUGCCUUCAGAAAUGGAGGAAGUUUUAUUGUUUUCAAGAACUAUUUCACAUUUCUUCUUAAGACAAUGUUUCUAUUUUAUUUCAGAUUUCAUAAGUUAUUUCAUUUCUAUGGUAAGACUUAGAUUUGGGUUUGGAUUUGAAUAAAGAACAACAAGUUAUUUGGAAUUGAUUUAGUUUAGGUUAGUUAAUAUCCCGGUUUAUUCUGGUUUCCUUCGGAAGCAGGAAUCGGGGUGUUACAAUUUGGUAUCAGAGCAUGGUUCGAACUAGGUGUUAAGAGAGCUAUCUAGAAUAGUGGGAAUGGGAUUCGGAUUUCAAAAAAAAAAUGGUUUAAAAAGUUUUUAAAAGUUUUCAAGUUUUCAAAGUUCAAAGAUUUUUCCAAAUGUUUUCAAAGAAAGAAAACUACCACCUAGACUGGCCUCUCUAGUUUUUGUUGUUCUUUUCUUUUGCAGGAAGUUAGUCUUUACGGGACCGGACUGACUUAUCUGCCUUUUAUAGUUUUGUAAGCCCGAGGUUGACCAAGUGUUGGACCUUCUCCGGAAAGUUCACCCCCAGAUUGAAAGCAGUGGAAACUGCUGGAAGUGAGCAGGUGAAGACCAUUGGAAUCCAUGAAGAGGUGCCUAUCUUGUUGGAAGGAGCAGAUUUUCCUUGGACUCUAGUGAAAAUGAAGUUGGGCCACUAUGAUGUUAUCCUUGGAAUGGACUGGCUGAAGCAUUAUGAAGUUGUCCCGAAUUGCCGGAAGUCGAGGGCCUAUGUUCCGUAUCAAGGAGGUCGGAUUGCCUUUCAGGGAGUAAAGACCGACACCGGAGUGCCAGUCAUUUCGAUGAUUCAUGCCGAGAAUCUUAUAGAGGAAGGAUGUGAAGCUUUCUUGGCGACAGUCUCUAUGGUAGGAGAGGGAGCACCUAAGAGCCUUGAGGAGAUACCAGUGGUGAAUGAAUACGCGGACGUAUCCAACCAUUGACUGGACCUCCGCCAAGAAGAGGAGUUGACUUCACUAUCGAAUUAGAACCAGGAACAGCCCCUGUUUUGAAGGUUCCAUAUCGAUUGGCACCAGCAGAGAUGGCUGAGCUAAAGAAGCAGUUGGAGGACUUGACGGAUAAAUGAUUUAUUCGGCCAAGCAGCUCGCCAUGGGGAGCGUCCGUGCUAUUUGUAAAGAAGAAAGAUGGAAGCUUUCGACUUUGCAUUGAUUAUAGAGGGCUGAAUAAGGUGACCAUCAAGAAUAAGUAUCCCUUGCCAAGGAUUGAUGAGUUGUUGGACCAGUUAGAAGGAGCUUCAUGGUUCUCUAAAAUUGAUUUGGCGUCAGGCUAUCACCAGAUUCGGAUAGCAGAGGAGGACAUUAGUAAGACAGCAUUCCGAACUCGAUAUGGUCAUUAUGAGUUUGUGGUAAUGCCGUUUGGAUUGACUAAUGCGCCUGCAGCUUUCAUGAAGUUGAUGAAUGAUAUUUUUUUAGAGCACUUGGAUAAGUGUGUGAUUGUCUUUAUUGAUGACAUCCUGGUCUAUUCAAGGUCGGAGAGAGAGCAUGAAUGGCAUUUAGGAAUGAUUCUGCGGAAGUUAAGGGAUCAGCAGCUUUUUGCGAAGCUAAGCAAGUGUAGCUUCUGGCAGAGGAAGAUGGGAUUCCUUGGCCAUAUUGUCUCAGAAGAGGGAGUAGCAGUGGAUCCUGAGAAGAUCACUGCAGUGACAGAGUGGCCUGUACCUAAAAGUGUUACUGAGGUCUGUAGCUUUUUGGGUCUGGCUGGGUAUUAUCGUAAGUUUGUGCCUAAUUUCUCCCGUAUUGCCAAACCUCUCACCAGCUUGACGGAGAAGAAUGUUAAGUUUGAGUGGAUGGAUAAGAGAUCUCAGAGUUUUGAGGAGUUGAAGCAGAAACUCACAGAGACUCCGAUAUUGAUACUUCCAAGGUCAGGAAUACCAUAUGAUGAAUACACCGAUGCCUCUGGAUCCGGGUUAGGAUGUGUGCUGAUGCAGGAAAAGAAGGUCGUAGCNNNNNNNNNNNNNNNNNNNNNNNNNNNNNNNNNNNNNNNNNNNNNNNNNNNNNNNNNNNNNNNNNNNNNNNNNNNNNNNNNNNNNNNNNNNNNNNNNNNNGCUUCGGAAGCAUGAAGUGAAUUAUCCGAUUCAUGAUUUGGAGUUAGCAGCAGUAGUAUUUGCUCUGAAGAUUUGGCGUGCUUACCUGUAUGGGGAGAAGGUGCACAUAUAUACUGAUCAUCAGAGUUUGAAGCAUGUGUUCACUCAGGAUGAUUUGAAUCUGAGGCAGAGGAGGUGGAUAGAAUUAUUGGCUGAUUAUGAUUUGGAAAUUUCCUAUCAUCCUGGAAAAGCCAACCAAGUGGCAGAUGACUUGAGUAGAAGGAGAAAUGCGGUUUCUGAGGCUAAGGAAACGCAGGAGCUGAUAGCGACUUUGGCGAAUUUGAGUUUGUGUGUCGCUGAAGUAGAGGAUGAUGCAGCAGGAUUUGAAGCAUUGGAUAAUGCUGACCUGCUGAUGAGGAUUCGUCAGGAGCAAGCGCAUUAUUUGUCCCUUAAGGAGAUUUUUGAAAAGCAAGUGGUUGGGUACCACAAAGCAGACAACGGGACUUACAUGUAUAGGAAUCGAGUCUGUGUUCCCAUGAAUGAUGAGCUAAGGAGGGAAGUGUUAAGUCAGGCUCAUCAGUCGAAGUUUUCUAUUCAUCCAGGGAACACCAAGAUGUAUCGGGAUCUAAACCGCUACUACCGUUGGUCUGGUAUGAAGCGCGAUAUUUCUGCUUGGAUAUCUCAGUGUUCUACAUGUCAGCAAGUGAAAGCAGAGCAGAUGGCACCAAGUGGACUUCUCCAAAACUUGCCAUUACCAGAAUGGAAAUGGGAUAUGGUAACUAUGGAUUUUGUGACGGGGUUGCACAGGACACUAAGUAAGAAGAAUGCGAUUUGGGUAAUCGUAGACCGUCUUACUAAGUCAGCUCACGCUUUGCCAAUUAAAAAGACGGAUGGAGCAGAGCAGUUGGCGCAGAAGUAUAUUGAUGUUAUUGUGAGGUUGCAUGGAGUUCCAGUGAGCAUAGUGUCGGAUCGGGAUCCAAAGUUUACAGCUAGUUUCUCGCAGGCCUUCCAGAAAGCAUUGGGAACAAAGGUUCAUCUCAGCACAGCAUACCACCCUCAGACAGAUGGCCAAUCAGAAAGGACGAUUAGGACCCUGGAGGAUCUGUUGAGAACGUGUGUCCUAGAUUGGGAAGGAAGUUGGGAGAAGCAUUUGCCUUUGGCGGAAUUUGCUUAUAAUAACAGCUAUCAUAGUAGCAUUGGGAUGGCACCAUAUGAGGCUCUAUAUGGUCGGCCUUGUCGCACACCUCUGUGCUGGACAGAAGUAGAAGAAAUGAGAGUGCUAGAGCCAGAGCUCCUUGAGGAGGCGUCUAAGCAAGUGGAAAUGCUUAAGACAAGGUUGAAAGAAGCUCAUGAUCGCCAGAAGAGCUAUGCAGAUCAGUGAAGGCAGGAGUUGUCUUUUGAAGUUGGUGAUAUGGUGUAUCUGAAGUUGAGGACCUUCAGAGAGAAUGAUAAGCAUCGGCUGAUGAAGAAGCUUAAGCCUAGGUACAUGGGACCGUACCCUAUCCUGGAAAGGAUUGGAGAAGUGGCUUACCGUUUGGAGUUGCCCAAAGAAUUAGCUGAGUUCCAUGAUGUGUUUUAUAUCUCUCUUCUGAGGAAAGUUGUGAGGGAGCCAUAACUCAUUUUGCCCCAGCCGCCAGCAGAUGUAAAGAAGGACUUCUCAGCAGCAUAUCAGCCUGAGGCAGUGUUGGAAUUUCAGGAAAAGGAGUUGAAUGGUAAGAGAAAACCAGCGGUUAAGGUGUGUUGGGAAAGGGAUGGAAUCCGCGAAGAAACCUGGGAAGUAGAGCAGAAAAUGCGGAAGGAAUUCCCGGAACUCUUUAAGGAUAAGGGAGAAACCGGAGGAGUGGGAGAGAAUUCGGGGACGAAUUCUAUGGAAGUAGGGGAGAGUGGUAACAUCCCAAACCCAGCCCAAUUAGAGGAGGCCCAGCAAAUCCAGGCCCACUCCAGAAACCCUAAUAUAAAUAGGGAAUUAGGAGUUAAUGAGCCUCAUUUUGCCUCUAAUUACCCUAGCCCCCAAAGAAAAGAAAGUGAGAGAGAGAAGGAGAAGCUGCACGCCGUCGCCGAGGACGAGAGCCGCCGCCGCCGCCGCCGCUUGCCGAGAGAAGAAGGAGCACUCGCCUGCCUCCACCUUCUCAGAAGUUGCUUGAUUCUUUUGCCUCUUCUAGUUCUCCUUAAUCUCAGAUCUGCUUUUAGGCCAAGGUGAGGAUUAGAUCUAGGUCUUUCUUCUUAUCCCUUUAUCUUCUUCUGUUGUGUUGAGUCUAGAUCUGGUGGGACAGGUCUGUCUUCUUGUGCAUCUAGGCAGAUCCAUAUAUAUAUAUAUAUAUAACUAAUAAGAUCUAGGAUCUCAUUAGAGGAAGAACCAGCAUGAUUGAUUGAUAACCCUGUUGAUUGGUUAGUGAUUGGUAGAAGUCCUAAAGGUCAUAGUCUGUUUCUGGUAUAGUGAUGUGCCGAAUGCAGGCUUGUUUGCUGGGUUAUGUGCCGUCUGUGUGACCGUGGCAAUAAUCCGUUCAUCCGGUGGAGUGAUGACCCACGGGGCUGUCCAUGUGGCAUGCCGGGAUUGGUCUGUCCGUGUGACAGGGUCUCUUUCUGUGUGACAGGGCGUCUGUCUGUGUGACAGGGUGAGAUGUCGACCUGUGUCCGAGUGACAAGGUGGUUUGGCCUAUUGAGAGGCGGGAUCGCAGACAUCACUGCUUGUUAGUUGCUUGUGCACUUGUAGAGUGCUUGUUUGGUUUCAUUAGAUUUAUUCUUAAUAUGUUGGUGGAAAUAAAUGAAUAAGGCGGGAGCCUGGUUUGGUUCUCACAAAUUAUUCACCCCUCUCUCUCUAAAUUCCGAUGUGCAGGUGAAUGUGAUUGUGAUUGUGAAUGUGAUGAUGUUUGGGAAGAACUAGACGAGUAAUUCUAGUGUGGUGUGCCUUCAGAAAUAGAGGAAGUUUUAUUGUUUUCAAGAACUAUUUCAUAUUUCUUCUUAAGACAAUGUUUCUAUUUUAUUUCAGAUUUCAUAAGUUAUUUCAUUUCUAUGGUAAGACUUGGAUUUGGGUUUGGAUUUGAAUAAAGAACAACAAGUUAUUUGGAAUUGAUUUAGUUUAAGUUAGUUAAUAUCCCGGUUUAUUCUGGUUUCCUUUGGAACCAGGAAUGGGGUGUUAUAAUAACUCUAUUUUUAAAGUAAUUCCAUUUUUUUAAUAGUAACUCUAUUUUGGAGAGAAAUAUGAAGUAGGUUUAGAGAGAAUUUUCUUCAAACUCUAUUUUGGAAUGAAAUUUGGAGUAGAGUAGGAGAUGUCUAAGAGAACUGAUUACCCCAUCAAAUGAACGCAAGAAACGAUUCUCGGUAUCUUCGUCCUCCAUUCAAGCUCAGUUUUUUGUUCUCGAGGAAUCAAUCUUAUUACAAACUGGCCAACUCAUGAGAAACUUGUAGCAUUUAAGGGUAGCUUUCUCAGCUUUGGACAGAGAUCAGCUACUAUGUGCUUCAGAAAUGGAAAGGCAAGAGGACUCCCGUAGAUACUCUACAGCUUAGGCAAAUUCCUAAAUGUUAUAAAUUUUAGUUUCUGAAAUGGUCUUAUACCUGUAAGAUUGUUACUUUUUUUUUUACAAUGUCUUCCAGUCUUCUUGAAUUUUCAAUCUGUAGGUAGACAAGAUAUAUUGACUAGAUUUUGUUGAAAAAUGUCAAUCUCUAAAACAUUGCUGCAGUUCGCCAACCUUCAAUCGCCCAAUAAUUGCUCUAAAUCCAACUCCGCAGAUAUGAUUAUGGUUAGAACUUGUGGAUUCUCCAAGAGCUGAAGCUCCUUCAAUAAGCUAGCAUCUCCAUGAAAAUUAGAAUAUUAUAGUUUCAAAAUUCUUUAACUUGAUACUUUUGAUAUCCCAUUGAUACUAGAAAGUCUCUAUGUAACAAUCAAAUUCAGCUGACUUCGCUUUUUAAUAUCUUGGUAGCCAACAUGGAGUUGCUCUAUACUGUAUACGACAAGUCAAGAUACUGCAAGGAUGCCAACUCUGAUAGCUUUUUCAUAAAGCGGAUGAAUUUACCUGAGAGAUUUUUCAAAUUGUCACUCUGGAGGAACAUAGUUGUAUAAGUUCAGAGCACUUGGAAAUGCAAGUUAUCUCUUUAAUCGUAUUCUUCAUUAAAGACAUCCUUCUCACAGCUUUCCAAUGCUUGACUUUUGGUAUUUCAUGUAGUCCAACAUAACCCUUAUUCUUCGCUCUUUUAAAAACUUGGCAUUCUCCAAUGAAUCCCUAGAUCACGUACUCUAUCAAUUUUUCUUUAUCUAUUCGAACAUCUUCUGGAAACAGAGCACAAUAAAAGAAACAUGACUUGAUACGUUCAUCCACCAAGCAAUUGUAGCUGUACUGGACAUUUUGCUAAUGUUGAGCAAACAUGACUUUAUCUAUAGAGGAAACAUGACUUUAUCUAUAGUGUUUUUGGUCAAUAGGUGGAAUGCAUUUAGCUAAUGACGAUGAAAGAGAGAGAGAUUGUGUUAGAUUUCAUUCCUCUUUGCUUUGUAAUUUCUCCCAUAGUUUCAAAGUCGUCGACUUGAUGCAACCAUGUUUUUAUAAAGAUGAUUAAUCCCCAGUUUCGGAGUAUUUUAAUCACAUUAGAUGCCACUAUGUUUUAAAAGACAAAGCUCAAAUUCGUUGACUUGAGCUUUUCAAGAACGAUUUGAAACGUGUGGCUGAUGUCCCAGAAAGAAAUGCACCUGAUUUCAGAAUGGCCUCCAGAAACCUGCACCAUACCAAGUAAAAUCAAAACAAAUUAAAGUCAGAUAAUAAAAAAUUAAAAGAGGAAUGCUUCUGGGGGACAACUCCUAAGCAGCAUUGCUCUUAGAUUUAGAAGGUUCAAGAAGAGAUUAUUUCUGUACCAGCAAAACUUGGCAUAUUCUGAGGCUUAAGGAGGAUAUAAAACGUUGGUUGAAAGCUGUGUGGUUCAAGAGAGCCACUCCAAAGCAUGCUUUCACCUUUUGGACGGCAAACUAAGACAGGUUACCACUGAAAACAAAGCUUGUGAGCUGGGGAAUUAAUAUCUCUCCAACAUGCUGCCUUUGUGACAUGGAGGAAGAGACUAGAGACCAUUUGUUUCUACACUGUCCAUUUUCUGAAGCAGUUUUGACCAUGGGGAUUCGGUGACUCGGAUUUUUUUGGAGUCUCAUUCUCUAAUUGGCAGUCCAUGAUCAACUGGAUGCUUCAACGAACACCAAGACUCUCCUCUACUUACUUGUUAUGGGGUGAACGAAACCAGAUAAUACAUGAUGGUCCUCUAUCUUCUGAAAACCAUCUCUUCGAUUAGUUGGAUAGACUGAUUAGAGACACAUUGUUGGCACACAAUCCCAGCGUAACUAUAGGGGUCUUCUAUCUCUUUGGUUUAAGAACCACUAGUUCUUCAAGCUCGAUUGUAAUUCUACUAAAAUGAUCUGUUUCCAAGCCUUUUUCCUUUUUUAGGCUUUUGAAACAGUGGCUGAGAGAUUUAUAGAAUAGUAGCGGAUUAAGCAAGAAUAUAGAGAGAUUUAGGUGAGAUUAAUGAAAAACUAAAGAAAAGAAGAGAGAAUCAAGAGAUUUAGAGAGAAAGAAAUGUAUUCUCAUUUUCUUAGAUCUAUAGAAAGCUGCUACAUUGUGUUUAAGUAGGAAGACAAAGAAAACUCUAACACAUAUGAGUAUACUAAAUACCUUAUAAAGUUUUAUAAAGUUUUAUAAAAUCUUAUAAAGUCUUAUAAAGUCUUUUAAAGUUUUCUAAUUGGAUUCCCACCAGAAAAGCUGAGAAUGAUCCAUCUUGUUUAACAGUGGCUAAUGUAAUAUACAAUAUAAUUCAAAUUUUAUUAAAAAAAAUAUAAGUUGCUUCUUUUGUGGGCAAAAAACAGGUCAUACAAAAGCUCGUCGUUAGUCUUUACAAGUUUCAGAGGACAGUAAUAUAUAAAAUCAUCAAAUAAUAUCGAAAACCCAUAGAAAUACACAAAAGCGUGUGUUCAAGAGGAAAGAAUUGUACAAGAAUAAUCUAUAACAUGUUGCAUCUAAUUGUGUCGAUGUUACAUGGGAUCUUCUUCGUCCAUCUACUAUAGUCAUAACAGGAUGUUAAAGCAAGACUUAAAGAUGAUGGAUCCGAGUCUGAAGUUACAGAAACGUGGAUUAAGCAAUAAAUUGGAGAUGAUGAAAAUAAGUUAUGCCCAAAGUAGCUUAUGAUGUGGAAGUGGGUUUUGUUUUUUUUUGCGAAUCCUAAAAGAUUAUUGUGUUGUGCUGAUUCUACGUUAGUCUUAGAAGAAUGGAGUGUGUAAAAUAGAGAAAAUUUUAUAAAAGAAGUAACGUUCAUAUGUAGAAAAGCAAGCUUUUGAAUGAAUAAUGGCUUGGUUUAUUUUUCUGUUGAAAGAAAAAAAAAAUUAUUUAAUAUUUCAAAACGAGUGUAAAAGUGAAAUACUUUCUCGCGAUAGAAAAAGUAUUUCACUUUCUCGCGACAGAAAAAAUAUUUCACUUUCUCGCGACAGAAAAAGUAUUCCACUUUCACUGCUGGUGAUCUAAAUGACGAUCCCAAAUAAACAAAUAAUAUUAGAAAUUUAUCUAUACACUAUUAUUUGCGAAGUUAAAAAUUUUAGGUAUUGUCCCCACAACAAUUGUUCUACGUGGCAUUAAUGAAAAAAUAUUAUUUAUUGUUUUAAUUUGUUUUAAUAGAUCGAUCAUUAAUCUUACGUGUAAAAACUUGUGACUUGGCUUUUUUCUUCGAUAAUGGGCUACAGAGUUUGUUCAUGGGCCAGCGAUUUUUUUUUUCACUCAUAGCCACCGAUUCUGGUAAUAGGGCACCGACGUCGAAACCCUAAACUCUAAAGAAUAUAUCCUACUAUAUAUACAUGUAUUAUCUACAUAUAUUUUUACAUACAACAACUGUCUUCAAGGUCUAGCAAUUUUUACAAAACUCGUCCACCUCUUUACACGAAUACAUCUUUUGUAUAUCCCAAUCUAGUUUAAAAUAUAUCGUUUAUUUAGUUGGUUGUUCUUCCAUGCUAACUUUUGAAUCGUUUUGUUCUGAUCGAGAUUCUUUUAUGCUAACCAGUCAAAUAUCUAUGUUUUUUUUCUAUCGUGUUCUAUAUUAUUAUGCAUCACAACUAUUUUAUUUUUUAAUCCCUGUUUUACUCUCUAUGCGAUUGGUCAUCGAGAUAUCAUAUUUGUGUUCUUUCUUUUGCUUUGUAAUUCUAUAUAUAAAAUUCGAUGCUUCAGUAUUAGAUAUUCAUGUUUCUCUUUAUUAAAUUUUUCUUAUGGUUAUAUUGAGUUAUUAUUCGUAAAUAUAGAUUGACCUGAGCUUCUUUAUUGUUUUCAUUGAACCUAGAGUUUAUCGUGCAAACUAUAGGUGAUUGGUUCAAACUUUUGCAAUCAUAUCUUCAAAUGAAUCUAACAGGUAAUUGUAAAUAAAUCAUUAGUACUUUUUUUUGUCAACAACUUAUUAGAACUUCCAAUUUUCUUAAUUGAUAUUCGUAAACUCUAUAAUUUAUUAUUUUGAUAUUCUUAAAAGGAUCAAAACCAUAGAAAUGAGUUUUUUUUUUGUGUGUAUAAUUCAUGUUUUAGUUUAGGUUUGUAUUAAUUUUUCUGGUAACAUAUUGUGAAUGAAUGUUAUUUAUUGUUUGAUUGUUUGAUUGUUCUUUGUUUCUCCUUGGGUUCUACUAUACAUUUUCUUUAUAUUGUUGUUUAUGUUUAUUUUUAUUUCUAAAUAUAAUUUUAUGGUUUUUGUGGUAGCUUUUGUGGACAUGUAAAAAAAAAAAAAGGAGUAACCAUUUCAGAUUAAUUUUGGUUUCAUAGUUUACUAAAGAUAUGUAACAUGAACAAAACGUCUAUUGUUUUAUAAAAUUCCCAUUGUUUUCUACCCAAAGGCAAUUAUGUUGGUUCUGGAAAAAAUGUUUUAUAGUUUUGCUUUUUACCCAACACAUUCUUUUAUCAGAAAAACAUUAAAUCACUCUCAAGAUUAAACUUAUCAGGCAUUAAAGCAAUAUUUUUGUUGGUAAGUCGAUGAAUGAGAAUGUGAUGUCUCAUAACUUCAAAGAGCAAAGGAAAAAUAAGUGACAACGAGACUAGAUUCGGUGUGAGUAGAAUCUUUACGCAUGUUAAGUAUUUGUUGAUAUACAGCAAUCAUAUUGAGAACAGAGUGCAAACCAAUUGCAAAUUGCACCAUCCAAUUGGUGUUAAAUUAUAUUAUGGUUAAUCCCUGACCCAUUUCUUAGUUUCAUCAUUAAUUAAUGAAUCAUCAGUUUUUUUUAACCCCUGAUGAGAGAUAAAAUCAGCUGAAGGAAGGAAAGUCACCAAUACAGAGGAAGAAGAAUAUUUGCUAUAAAAUAUUCAGGUCUUAAUUUUCAUCAUCCUUGUAAUUUGUUUCAGCUUGCUAAAACUACUUUUUUAGUGUUGCAGACUUCAUCGGAAUACCUAAUAAAUUGAUGAUUCUCUGAUACCAGAAUCUAAGAAAUAUACUCACACGUGAUAAACUGAAAUUUUUGUGAAUUGCAGAAUGAACAUACUCACACGUUGCAUUUCUUAUAUGUUUUGAUGUGAAACAAGUAAUUCUUCUGUCAUAUAGCUUUGUUGCUUUAAAAUUAAUCAGUCUGCUAUUACCAGUUACUUUUAAAUCAGAAUUUCAUAACGUAAUGUGGUAGCAUAAUCCAAAUUUGUUGAUUUAAGUAGGAUAUCCCGAAUAGGAAAUGUUGUAGUUCGUGUAUGGCAUACUUCAAAUCUUAGAAUAUGUUUUGGCUUGAGUCUUCAAGAUGUGCUAGAUAGUUAUCAACUUAUCAUCUUGAGGAAAUGAACUUAAAGAAUUAUAUAAGAGAUAUACUCAUAAUUCAUAUAUACUAUAAUCCAUUUUAUUGCCAAUUUUUUUUUUUGAGUUAGAACCUAUAAAACUUAAAAACAUAUAUCAUGGUAGAAUCAAGUGUCAUCUCACUAAGACUUAUUAUGCUCAUAUAUGGUUCUAUUGAUUUUAAAAAAAAAAUAAUAAUUAAACAUACGAAUUAACCAAAAUAUAGUUUUAAAAGUUUUAAGGUCUGCUAUGUUUUUUUAAAGUGUUAGAGCAUUUUCAUCCCUUAAAUCUAUUAGAGGUUCUUAAACAUAUUUUAAUAUUAAAUUUGUCAAAUAUUUUAAUAUUAAAUUUUAAACUGCUUAUCCUAAUCAAUUAAAACACGACACCUAGCUAAGAGAUUCAUUAAAAUCGAUCCUUAUUUAAGAAUCACAAUAACCAGUCCUUAAAAUUAAAUGCAUUUUUCAAUUAAUUUUAAACCCACUUUUCCUCUAAUAUCCCCAUAGGAUAUCACCGAAGAGGUAGGUGGUCUUACUUUGCUAAGCUUCAAAUUGUAUUGUCUUCACUCUUCAGUAUAAGACUAAUGAACAUUUAGUUUACAAUUUUGAAUUUUCUAAAUGGAGUAGGCCGAGAUCAGGCCCAGGCUAUAACCGCUUCUUACAGGCUAUUGAUGCAAUCAAAUGUUACAAAUUGCAAACGGCUAUUUGCUUUGUGUUAGCAUUGGUCCAUUGAAUUUUCAAUUUUUUUUUAAUAACUUAUAUUGAGUCAUAUGGAAAUGGACAACACUCAGUUUAAUAAUAGAUGUCCGGUAUCGGUUCUUAUCAGCACCGCUGCUUUGUAUGUAGUCGCCGUCUGCAAGAAUCAUUCUGAGAAAUGCUAGACAAAAGUGAGAAAGACGAUUUCGUAAAAGAAAGAAGAUUGAGUUUUGCCAGAAACUACUCUACAAGAUUGUUAUAGUUUCUGGACACGCAGCUAAUUCAAACGACGAACCAAUGUUCAAGACCGGUGGGCGGUGAAUUGCGAAUUUGUUUUUGGCUGAAGAUUUGUUCUUGGGUUCUUGUUUUAAUGUUCUUAAUGUGGUGAAGCCAUUAGGAAAGGAAUGUGAAAACUCUUAAAAUUAAGAAGACUCUUUCCAUGUCUUCUUAAGUGAAGUUGUCUCUAGUUAUUGCCCCAAAUCAGAAAGCCACUAGACAUAGUUUAGGAUUAGAUGGAAGUCACAGCAUCUUCAGAUUUAAAUUAGAGAGUCUGAAAAACAGGAUCUUCAUGAUUCAGCAAAAUCAUAUAACUUUUCAUCUUGAUUCCUCCUGUUAACAACACAUACACACUGCAAGAUGAAAUAGAAAAAGCUACAGGUAGAGAAAUUUCAUUUUGGAUAGUGAGGAAUCAAAAUACACAGUAAAUUCAGAGGCAUCACAUGCUUUUAUGAUAUAUCCUUUCACGUAAAAGCAUAAAAAAACUGUUGAUUAUAUAAAUACAUGUAGCUUGAGAAGGAAGCAAUCCGCCUUAACUUAUUACAUAGAAAAAUGAAAAAGAAAAUCCAAUUUAAAAACACAACACACUGCAGAGAUGUAUGAGACUGCAUAGGAAAAACAAUAAUACAAUCCAAAUGAAGAACACAUCAUACUUUGAGAAGAAAGAGAAAGCAGAAGAAGAAGCGUGGAUUCUGGUUUAUCACAGUGAGGAAUUCCAAUCCAAAUUGAGGGAUGGUUAGUCCUAAUAACUCAGUACUAUAAGAAAAAAAUAAAUAAACAAAGUUAGUGAAUAUUCAGAAAAAUACAUUUCACCUAAAACUGCUAGGAAUAUCCAGCAAAUUCUGCCUCACCAUUUAAUAUCUUAAUAAGAAGCUGAACCAAUUUUCAACAGUUUCUAUUAAAUAUUUGUAUAUAUUCCUUCAUUAACGAAUGUGAAAGGAAAAGAAGAAGAAAGAAAAUACUGUUUGUGAUUUAGUAGUCAUUUGAAGAGUUCAAUGCACAUAUGUAUUUAAACUUUUGAAAUUAUGACCCCUCGUAAAUAUCCAACAAACACAGGUCUGAUGAUUUUCGAGAUAAUUUUCUAAUUUUGUGACCCAAUUUGUGUUUUGUUGGGUAUCAAUGUAUCAUGAUGCAAAUGGAUCAUAUCAGACUAAAAAAAAAACGAUCACACCUCAUUCUAACCUUGAGCAAACAUGAAAGAAACUGAAGUAAGAUAAAAUAAUUUAUUCAAGCGGAAGAGAAUAAGAGAAAUGAUUACCCCAGCGAAUAAAAGGCAGGAAACGAUGUUUAGUAUCUUCAUUCUCCCAUUCCAGCUCAGUUUUCUGUUCUCGAGGAUACAUAUUUAUUUUAAACCCGCCAAGUCGUGGGACACUUGUAGCAUCAAAGGGAAGCUUUCUCAGCUUUGGACAAUCAUAUACUCCUAUGUGCCGCAAUGAUGGAAAGGGGAGAGGACUCCAGUAGAUACUCUCCAGCUCUGGCAGAUUUCUCAGGACUAAGUGUUCUAGUUUCUGAAAUGGUGUAGUACCUGUAAGAUUGGUUGCUUUCUCUUUGUUUAUGAUUUCUUCUAGUUCUCCUUCGAAAAUUUCUAGCCGAGUCAGAUUUGGAGAAAACAGUAGCCAAGUCAGAUCCUUAAUGCCAUGACAGCGAAACAUUGUCACGACGGAGAGGUUGGUAAAGCAUGAGCUUCCUCUGCAUUUAAUAUAUGUAUCAAUCGCCGACACAUGACUACUCACAUGGAGCUCACGAAGAUUCUCCAUACUCAACAGCGAUGACAUAUUGAAUGGCUUUUCCUCAAAUCCCACAAUACCCAGAUAAUUGAUGCAGUUAGCCAACUCGGUAGAGAUCGUUAUAUAUGCUUCAAACCCAACUCGGUAGAGAUCGUUAUCUGUAGAACUUGUAGAUGCUCCAAGAGCUGCAGCUCCUUCAACAAGCUAACAUCUCCAUGAACUUUAGAAUAUCUUAGUUUCAAAAUUCUUAAACUCGACAGCUUUGAUAUCCCACUGAUACUACAAAGACUCUUUGUAAAAGUCAAAUCCAGAUGAAUUAGCUUUUUCAACUCUUGGAAACCAACUGGCAGUUGCUUUAUACUUGUGCCCGACAAGUUAAGAUACUGCAAGGAGGCCAGCUUCGAUAUCUGCCGAUAUCGAUAUUACGUGAUAGAUCCAAAACAACUAGCUUUUGCAUAGAGCCGAUGAAUUCACCCGAGAGAUUCUUCAAAUGAGUAUUACGGAGGAGCAGAGUUGUAAGUUCAGAACACUUGGAACCACAGGUUAUCUUUUUAAGCUCAUUCUUCAUCAAAGACAUCCUUCUCACAGCUCUCCAAUCCUUGACUUUUGGCAUUUCGUGUAAUCCGACUCCUGCUUGAACCAAAAAAGUCUCUUUCUGUUUCCCAAAGUCGGAUGCAAUCCAUAGAGCCAUUUCGCGAACCACGUCAUGCAUCACAACACCUCUUCUACUAUUAGACUGUUCUGUCAGUAAAUUUGCGCGGAUAAGGGUACCAAGUACCUCAUAACCCUUAUUCACUGCCCUUUUAUAAGAUUGGUCUUCCUUGAUGAAUCCUUCGCAUAUCCAGUACUCUAUCAAUUCUUCUUUAUCUUCAGGAAACAGAGCACAAUAGAGGAAACACGACUUGAUAUGUUCACCCGCCAAGCUAUCGUAGCUGAACUUCAGAAUUGGCAGACCUUUUUUGCAUGCUCGACAAUGGCAGGAUCUCUACUUAAUGUGUAGUCUCCUACCUUGCUUUUGAACAAUUCCCAUGCUUCUUCUUGUCCCAAACAGUCGACUUUCAUCGGCUCAUGAUCUCCCAUCCGCCCACAUACUUCCCGAGUGGUGAAUGCUACUUUGCAUCCAUUUUCUCUGGUGGGAAACGGAACUCCGAUAGCUUCUAAAUCCACUUUCUCCCAUAUAUCAUCUAGCAUCAAAACAAAUCUCUUCCCUUUUAAAACUCUGUGUAUAUCGAUUGCCUUGUCACUUUCACUUUUGUUCGUUCCGCCAAGGUUUAGCUUUUGUGCAAUAUCUUCUUGAAGCUUUGAAAUAGUUGCACCUUGAGACACCACGACCCAGAUCACAACAUCAAAUCUACCAGCCAUUUCAGUGAACUUAUUGUGGAUAUUCUUGAAAAGGGUAGUCUUGCCUACACCUCCCAUACCGUGCAAACCAAUGAUUCCAACUCCAUCUUCCAUAAGGCGCUUCCAUGCCUCUCCCAGCAUUGUUUCCUGACCGAUCGUAGGCCCAGUAGGCCUUUCUUCUACUACAGAUCUCAAAACCGGCUCAGUAACCUCUUUAAAAUUACCCUCCGAUUUGAGUUUCUUAACCUCUUUCAGCAACAAGAAUACCUUUUUCCCAUAUUUGUAGCUCGAACAUACACUUUUU
This 70559-nucleotide long non-coding RNA is filed under the name Eutrema salsugineum. RNAcentral's name for it is "long non-coding RNA (ESAL_LNC000180)". The record is from RNAcentral. Lineage: Eukaryota; Viridiplantae; Streptophyta; Magnoliopsida; Brassicales; Brassicaceae.